RNAcentral lists this long non-coding RNA (71719 nucleotides) under Solanum tuberosum (potato). RNAcentral's name for it is "long non-coding RNA (STUB_LNC007288)". Lineage: Eukaryota; Viridiplantae; Streptophyta; Magnoliopsida; Solanales; Solanaceae. The record is from RNAcentral.
GGGUCUGACAGUCAGGUUUUUCAGUUUCGUGGCUAGUGGUUGAUUAUGAGGUUUCCGAGCUUUGGUGAGUCCUCAUGCUUCGAAGAUGGGUUUUUAUUGUUUCAGUUGAAUUCUUGUAUUUCAGUUUUGUACAUGAUGUAUGGGCUAGGCCCUAUUUCAUUCUAUUGUACUAGAUGGCUAAUGAGACAAGUGUUUUAGAAAUCCCAUUUUCUUUUAUAAAACUAUUGGACUUGGACUGUUGUUUUACUUCUAUUGUUCUAUUUAUUAUGUGAUGAAUGCUAAGUGGCUUGUAUGGGGUCUUUAGGGGUCCUAUACGCCAUUGUACAUCUGGGGGUACCCAUGGGCCUUGACAAACUUGGUAAUCAGAGCAUAAUGUUUAGAAUGGUCCUAGGAUGUUUCAUAAGCCACUUCGAGUAGAGUCUUGCUCGUGACCGUGAAGUGCUCCACAUUUAUGAAUGAGAAGCUACAAGAUGAUUAGGAAACUCCACGUCUUUCAUUACUCUAAAGUCAAGUGAUAGAGUUUAACUGUAUAAUCUCUUAAUCCAUAUAUACUGUUCUACAUGAUAUGGCUACUCUAAGAGCUUAUGCUAGAAGGAAUGUGAGGGAGAAUGUGGAACAAGAAGCACCUCCCCAAGCUCCUCAAGUUUCGGUCGAUCCUUUGGCCGAGCAAGUGACUAAUGCAAAGUUUAGGGCUGCUUUCCAAGUGUUGGCUCAAGCCGUGACGGCCCAAGACAAUAAGGAGGUUGCGGUUUCCGUGAACCCAAAAGUGGGUACGGCGACAUCUAGAGUGAGGUAUUUCACUAAGAUGAAUCCUCCAGAGUUUCAUGGUUCUAAGAUUGAGGAAGAUCCUCAAAAGUUCAUUCAUGAGGUCUACACAGUCUUGAUGAUAAUGGGAGUGACACCGGUGGAUAAGGCAGAGUUGGUCACUUAUCAACUUAAGGGUGUAGCUCAAAUUUGGUAUAACCAAUGGAAAGAAGGGAGACGGGAAGAUACGGGUCCUCUUGAUUAGGAGAAGUUUAAAGUUGUUUUCCUUGAUAGUUUUUUCCCCUUCAGAUGAGGGAAGCCAAGGUGCUUGAGUUCAUUAACCUUCGACAAGGGAGUAUGAGUGUGAGGAAAUAUGCUCUAAAGUGCACACAAUUGUCUAAACAUGCUCCAACAAUGGUUGCCGAUUCAAGGGCAAGGAUGAGUAAGUUCGUUUGGGGUGUGUUCGAAAUAGUGGUUAAAGAGUGCCAAACUUCAGGCUCAUUAAUGACAUGGACAUCUCUCGUCUCAUGGUUCAUGCACAACAGAUUGAAGAGGAGAAACUUAUGGAAAAGUCUAGGGAUACAAAGAGGGAUAAAAUCGGUGAUGGUAAUUUCUCUCAUGCUAGGUCCAAUGGACAUGGUCGUGCCAGAUUUUGACAAAGGUUUUUUGGUCAAGGUUCCUCCAAUGCUUCUCCUAAGUUCAACAAAUAUAAGGUGUCUAACUCUAAGCCUCAAGGAGGUAAUGGUAGUGGAUCUUCUUUGCCCGUGUCUACUUGUACUAGGUGUGGAAAGAAGCACGAGGGUAAGUGCCUAUCCGGCAAGGAUGGUUGCUUUAGUUGUUGUAAGAGUGGUCAUAAAAUAAGGGAUUGCCCGAUGCUUACGGCUAUAGGAAGCGAGGGAAAUCAGCCCUCCCUCUAGCAUGAUAUAAAUAUUUUAAGCAUAGCUAUCAUACUUGGUACAUUGUUUAGUACUAAUGCAUACUUUUGCCUACUUUUCCCCAAAUGUAGGGUCCGACAGUUAGGUUUCUCAAUUUCGUGGCUAGUGGUUGAUUACAAGGUUCCCAAGCUUUGGUGAGUCCUCCAUCUUCGAGGAAUGGUUUUCAUUUUUUCAGUUUACUUCUUGUAUUUCAGUUUUGGUCAUGAUGUAUGGGCUAGGCCAAAUUUCAUCUUAUUGUACUAGAUGGCUAAUGAGACAAGUGUUUUAGACUUCCGCUUUUUUUUAUAAAACUAUUGGACUUGGACUAUUGUUUUACUUUUAUUAUUCUAUUUCUCAUGUUAUGAAUGCUAAGUGGCUUGUAUGGGGUCUUUCGGGGUCCUAUACGCCAUGUUACAUCUAGGGAUACCCCUUGGUCGUGACAAGGCUUCACUUUCGUGAAGGUCGCGAAAGUGAACUUCCUUUCGCAAUCGCUAUGGUCAGGCCACCUGGCCCGUCGCUUUUACGAUCAAACCUUCACUUUUGUGAAGGUUAUGAAAGCGACUAACCCUUCGCGAACGCCAGGUACUUCAUAUCCCAGGCACCAGAAAAAUCAGCCAACACUCAAAACAUCAAAAUCCUCAAAAAUUUUCGGAAUCUCGUACGCACAAACAAUAUAUGCAAUUUCACUAAAGUCGUUGUUUCAGACUUAAUGAAACCAUCGAAAUACGAUUCCGAGGUCUCUUAGACCUGAAAAUUAUAAAAGUCUCAAGAAAUGAACAUAACGCAUAAAAAUGAUAAAUCAAGCUUGAGACCUCAAAAAAUUCAACCAAGACCUCACCGAGGCAUAAAAUCAUCACCAGAAUCCAUUAAACUCUUAGAAUUCUAAUUCGAGCAUUCGCACCCUAAAUUUUAACUAAAGUUAACUGAAAGGCUAAAAUUUCACAGAGUCCCAACUUAGGAGAUCAAAUCCUCAAAGAGACUCCGAAUGUUAAACUGACAGUUUUAUUAAACCAAAUUCCACAUUCUAGAAGUCAUGAAAUCGACAGAAUUCGGUUUCAACACUCAAAACUCCAAAAGACACCAAAAACUACUUUUUAACAACUUUCCUUUUGAAACCAAAAACUUACAUAAUUCACAACUUUUUACUCAAAGUUUGCAAUGAAUUUCAAAACAAUAAGAAAUGAUUUCAGGUCAAUAUUGGGAGGGGUGAAAUGGUAAUUUUUUAAAAAAAUUCAAAAUGACCUUCUAGGUCAUUAUAGAAAAUAUACAUAAUGAUAAUUGAUGGUGGUGAUUGUGAUCUAUGUUUGUUAUGGUAGUGACGUUUGAUAGCGAUGCUUGUAAAUAGUACCUAGUGGUGACUACAAGUGGUUGCAGUAAUGGGCAACAAUGGUUUGGUUGAGGAUAACAAUUGUAAACAUUAUUUAAAAAUAUUUUCCAAACAAAAUUAAGUCACAGUUAAAGAUUCUUUGGAUAUUAAAUUGUCAUUAAAUAAGCAGUAGGGACAAAAAUUAAAGACCAUCGAUUUGCAGAAUAAAAAUUAAAGACCGCCAAGAUAGGGUAGUCCAUGCAAGAACUUGAACUGUAAGACUUAAUAACAAAUAUUAUUUAUCCAGACCUGUUCGGAUGCACUAAGUUAUUGUAACAUAAAAAACCAACACAUAUAGUGAUUAAAAUAUGAAUAAUUUAAAAUUAAGAUAUUUAUUCAGUUCAAAUAAAUGAGGAUUUAGUAAUAUCGUGUGACCUACAAAUUUGUUAUGUAGAGAUAUGAUAGGAAAAAUAAAUUUUUUUACAAUAUAAAUGCACAUGACUAUCUUUUAUUUUCAUAAUAUUAGGAGCUUUGAAUUUAAAUAAAUAAUAUUAUCAAUUUUACACAUUUUUACAUUUUUAUCUAAUAAAAUAUAUUUAACAAUUGAAUAUCAAAUGGAUUAUUUUAAUGAGUUUGUCGUGUAUUUUAGAUUUUUUUUCGUUUUGAUAUUUAGUUUUUUUUGUUUAGUAUAAUAUAUUAUAUAUCAUCUCAAUUAUUUAUAUUUUUAUUAUUAAGUUAAUUCUAUCUCUCAAGAUUUUAAAUGGCAAAAAAAGGAAUAAAUGAGAAAUAUAGUGCAAAGAUGUGAAAAAGACAAUAGUAGCACCAUCUUCUUAGAUUUUAUCAGCACAUUUUUAUGGGUUACUUAGAAAAUAAAACUCAAAAUUUCAGAGCCAGCGGAAAAAAUUCCCUUGACUUUUUCCCUCUAUUUCAAAGGGCUAAAUUCUCUCUCCCGAACUAGCAAAUAUUUAGGGUUUAACAUAAUCUAUUCUCUCUCUUCAUCAUCUUCUCUAUAGAGUAAGUUUUUGCAAUCCAAAUUGAAAAGGUUAGCAAUUUAUGAUUCUUUUUUUUUAUAUCUUGUAGAAUUCGUAUCUAAAAUGCUUUGCAAUAUGCUUGUCAAUCUAUCUCAUUAGUUGCUAGUCUUUGCCAAGAAAAAGAUGCUUUGCAAAGACAAUUUCAAAGGUUGGUAUACUUUCUUUUCAUGAUUCGCCUUCAAAAAAAUUAUAGUGGGAAGAUUCAUGGAUAGAGUGGUAUUGGUUGCAAGAAUUUUUCUUGCUUGAAUGUUAAGAAAAUUAUUAGAGAUUGUGUUGGUUGUUUUUAUAUAGUAAGUAGUGGGGUUAUGAUAGUCGGGAUAGUAGGGGGGAGAAUAAUCUUUUAAUUGAUGAUGUGUUAGCAAUGUUGGAAAUGGUGGAGGAAUUAGAAUUGAAUUUGAUAUUCGUGGGGGAAUUGGUAAAUUUGAAGCUAGAAUUGUUGAAAGGAAUAUGACUAUAUGAAUGUUCUCCUACGUUUGACUGUCACUUCACCAUUUAAUGAGUUCAUUGCUGUAAGGAUCUUGUCCCAUUGUAUUUAAGUUUGGAUCACUAGUUUCUCUUUCACGAUAAUGUAUUUGAUUUGGUUCAAGAGGGAAAUGUAUUAGAUUUUAGCAACAUCAGACACCUUGAGAAAUUAGAACUUUUAGUCUUGACAUUGCUAGAGUUUUGAGGGCUGGAUGAUUGUUUUGAUUGGAUAAUUUAUGUUAUUCCAAUGAAGACAAGAAAAAUGUAUUAACUAAGUUAAUAGAACGUUUUAGGUAUCAUGGUAAAAACUCAUUUCAGUCGUUCCUUUUUAAGGGUCAUGUAAAGUCCAAAGUAGAUAAAUAAAAGUGAACAGAGGGAAUACUUUCCACCAUUUCUUUUGUUUCUUUUACCCUCCCUUCUUUUUUUUCUUACGACUUAUUGGUAAAGAAUUUCGAAUUUAUUGUGCAGACAUACGCGCUGCCUUAGCAUUUGAAGUAUGGUGGUUGCACACACACCAAUGCUCGCCCUUUCAAAUCUUCCAUUCAAUCAUUAUUGGCUCAAAUUCGCCACCUCCACAAACCCACCAACCGGCAAGAGAAAAGCCCUAAAGAUGGAACCAAGAUAUUUCGAAAACAAGUAAUUUCUACGCCAAAUGGAGGUAUACUUUUUCAUCAAUUGAUUUGAUUUGUUAACUCCAUUGCAGUCCCAUAUGGAAAGAAAGGUAUUAAUUUCCAUUCAUUUGGUGUCAGAAAAUUUGAAUGCAUCGAGUACAAAAGAAGAUUUUACAAGAGUCAAUCUCUACGUUAGAUUUAUUGGCACAAUGCUAAUUGACAACUAUGAUAGUUACACUUACAAUAUAUUUCAAGAGCUCUCAAUCGUUAGUGGCAGUAUGUUCACUCUAUCAUAUAUUAUUUAUGAGUUCUGACACAUAGUUUUAACCAUCAAUUCGGUAAGAAUAAAAAAACUUGAACUAUCAAAUCACUUAGCCUGUCAUAGAUUUUUUGUCUUGAAGUUGAAAUGAUUCAGUUUCCCUUUAUUGACUUAUUCUAAUCAUUAAAAUAUUUACUCCUUAAAAUUUGGUUGUAUGUCUAUUUCUUUUGUUUUUUCUUUUGAUCUGUGUUUAGCAAUUAUAAUUUGAUAUCGCUACAUUUUGAUACAGUUAAUAAAAUUCCAAUUUCUCUACAGAUAAAUGAAUUUCUCUUAGACAAGAACUAUUCUUUGACCAACAUUAAUUCAUGAAGGGAAAAUUAUUAUCUUGAGAAGACCUAUUGCUAAAUUUAUAUUUGUCCCCUUCACUUUCUUCCUUGAGAGACCUCAACCCCACCCCAAAGACAAGUAUCAUUAGCAUUGUGCUAAUGCAAAAAUUAGAUGUUUCGAGCAAUUCAGUGUUGUCUCUCUGCUUUUGUAAAAAAAACUAAUCUAGGAGUAGUUCUAUAUAUCUAAGUCUUGAUACAUAGAGUGCAAGAAAAUGUCACAAUAAUUGAAUAGUAAUGUGAAGUUGUAAGUGACGUUCUUCGCAUAGACACACUUAAUAAAAUUACAAAUUCACAAAGUAGAAAAUAUGCAUAGAUAAGAAAAAACAAAUAGUAGAGCAGUUUUAAAAGGACAUAUAUACCCUCAAAACACAUAACCAUAAAAAAAAUUAAGGGCAAACCCCCAAUGAAAUUAUUCUCUUUACCAAGCACCAAAAAUUGAGAACGAGGAGGACUAAUGAUCACCGAGAAACUAAUUAAGAGAGUUCAAAAUGUUUUUACGAAAGGUAUUGUAGGAACAUUCCACAUUCUUGGAGAAUUUGGAGAAAGAUGUCAGGAAAAAGACAGUGAUCUAUGUAUUGAAGGACCUAGCUCCAUUCUUGAAAGAGUUGACUAGCUUGAGCAACUUAUUCACAGUAUAGCUCCCAUCUUGUUUCAACCCAUCCAAGGAAAUAUGGAGCUUGCCUACAUUGUUACUGGUGUCCUUGUGAAGGCGACAAAUCUUCUCCAUAGUUUCUUGGAUAAUCUCUAAAAUAUUUUCCAUAGUAAGCAAUCUGGUUUUGAUGUCAUCUGCAUACUAAAGCAAUUGUGUAGUUGAGUGUCUGAAAAUCGUUGUUACUUUGAUGGUUUCUUCCUUGGAUUUCACGGAUUCCUUCUUGUGCCAUUUCUCACUAACUAGAACUUAACCCAUGCUUGAAAUUCUGCGAGUGUCAUAGGUUGUAGAAACUUCAACUUCAAGUGGUUUAAACUUUAGAGAGAUCGGCCAAAAGUCAUAGAAUCCUAGAGAUAAGAAGACCUUAACAUAGGCUAGCAGUAGCAUUUGAGUGGAGGAAAAAUAUAUUGCUUUUGAUCUGUGAGUACUCUAGACCUAGGAAAGGUUGUCGCAAGACUGGAGGAAAAAGGUCUUGAAAAAAUGAAGAAGUAUGUGAGUAGCAAGAUGAAAUUGAGAUCUCAAAUUGUAAAGGAAGGCCAAAUAAGCCAAUUCAAUAGGAAAAACUAUCCAAUGAGUGGGAAAUAAUUUUCAGAAAUUUUAUGUCGCUUUCAAACAAGUGGAAGGAACUCACAUGGGAAGGAAAGGAUGCAAAACUAAUUAGGUGUCACAUAAGGGUUUUAUGCUCUUAUAAAUUUAUUAUUGAUAGUGAUUAAAUUGAGUUCUUUUCGUUUGGGUUCUACUAUUAUUCAUCCAUCUAUUUAUUUUUUUGGCGAACUCCUUGGCAAUAUCUAUUUCUAUUGAUAUCUAGUAGUAAGUCUACCCAUGGUCUCUUUUGCUUUCUUGUUUGAGAUUCCUAUUUUCUAUUUUUGAAAACAAAUAUAACAAGAAUUUAUUACCAAAGAAACUAGCAAACGAGAAAACAAAUAACUAGUAUAUUAUCAGAUCAACUACUGACUAUUCAAACUACAACUACGGUUAUAUAUUCAUCUCUACAAGCUUCCUUCCUAAACUAUUCCUCGUGGAUCCUCUAAAAAAGAAAAUUUACAGAAUCCUCUAAAGAAGAUAACAACUUCAGGAUCAAAACUUUUAGCUUGGUUUUUAAGGACUAGCUCUGUACUCAAAAAGUAACACCCAAGGGUAUUUCAUUCGAUCAAGUAAUAUUAAUGAUUCAUUGAUUGAGGAUGAUUUUUAAUUGCAUGUCAAUAUCAAAUGUGUUCAUGUGUGUACAAAUUUCAUUCCUCCCUUGAUAUUCUGAUUUGAUCUCUUCACAUAUAUUUUUCUCCUUUUUUGUCAUGUUAUUUCCUUUUAAUAUAUCUUGAUUUAAUAGUCUUCUCCUUGGUGAAAGCAGAAAGAUUUUUUCGUUGACUGCUUCUUGGUUUCCUUUGUAAUUGGAUGAGUUGUCCUUUAGCUGAUUUUAUUGGUCCCUGAUAUACUCCCUAGGUUGGAUUUUUGCUAGAUUGGUUUACUGUGAUUUAGUUUCUUUCUUUUGUGAUCUUUCUAGCAUUCCAUCAUUGUAUUUUAUUUACUUCUUUUCCUAUUAGAAUAUCUUCAGUCAAUUGUCGUUUAUCAAAAUCAGAGUUAUAUAGGGCUAACAAUCUCCCCCUUUCUUAUAAUGACAAUUAAUACACAAAUGAAAAUGAUUAGGUUCUAAGGAGUCUUCCCCAUUUGAGUGUGAAGCUCUACCUCUUUUUGUGCUUCCCAUGUCUAAGAUAUUUGUGGGAUUUCUUCUAUUUUGGUAUGAUAAAAAAAAAGCAUAGACACACAUAAUAAAAUUACAAAUUCACAUAGUAGAAAAUAUGCAUAUAUAAGAAAAAACAAAAUAGUAGAGCAGUUUUAAGAGGACAUAUAUACCCUCAAAUCACAUAACCAUAAAAAAAAUUUAAGGACAAACCCCUAAUGAAAAUAUUCUCUUUAAUAAGCAACAAAAAUCGUGGACGAGGAGGACUAAUGAUCACCGAGAAAGUAAUUAAGAUAGUUCAGAAUGUUUUUAUGAAAGGUUUUGUAUGAACAUUCCACAUUCUUGGACAAUUUGGAGAAAGAUGUGUGGAAAAAGACAGCGAUCUCUGAAGGAGCUAGCUCCAUCCUUGAAAGAGUUGACUAGCUUAAGCAACUUAUUUACAGUAGAUCUCCCUUCUUGUUUCAACCCAUCCGGGAAAUAAGGAAUAUUUGAGUUCUUUGCAUUUUCUACCAUGUAUUCUUAAACCACAUAGCGCAAUUAAUCAUAUAUUUCUUAAGCAGAAAGUAGAGAACAUGCACAUCCCAAGUUUAGAUGUUGCUCAUGUACCCCUUUCAGGGAACUAAAGUGCUAGUAAUUAUGUGGUCCAUGAUCUGAUUCUCGGAUCAAAGAGAUAGAUGCUCAAAUAAAAAAAUUGAAUCUUGGUUCUACCAUAUGCUGUUUGGGCUACUUCUAGAGACACUUUAAAAUUAUCAUGACAGAUGCCAUUCAUAUAGGGGAAAAUUUCAGAAAAUAUCAUACCAAAUACAUCUUCGAAUAACAAUUCAUUCAUAAGAAACAUGACUUUCAUAACAAGAAUUUCCAAUUCAACACUAUCUAUAAAGACUUGAGAUUAGCAUAAACUUCUUCAUAAAACACAAAACCAUAGAGAGUAAAGAACAAAGCUAACUUCCAAGCAUUGAGAAAAGAACUUACCUGUUAAUGAGAAUCCUUCAACUAACUAAAAUUAACAACUCAUCCAGGAAGUACAGGUUGAUUUUUGAAAGAUUCAUACAUGUUCAUAUGCUCAACACCUCAAAACAUUUGCAUUUCCUUUGGAAGGGGAGAUUCAAACACAUCAGAACGCACUUUCUUGGUAUCCUUCUUCUUCAUGGAGGAUGAUAUCUUCUUGGAGGAAAGAGAUGGAGAGUUAGAGGUGUCGGCUGAAGAAAGAAUCAGAAGAAAGUGAAUGAAUGUCAUGAUCAAGGGUUUUGAAUGACUGUUGAAGGCUCUUCUAAAACCCUUAAUCAUGACAUUCUUUCACUUACUUUUGAUUCUUCAUAAAACAUCUCUAAUUGUCCCUCUCUUUCCUUAAAGAAGAGACCAUCCUUCAUGAAGAAAAAGGAUACCAAGAAAAUACGUUCUAAUGUGUUUGGAUCUCUCUCUCCAAAGGAGAAGCAAAGGUUGUGAGGUAUUGAGCAUAAGAAUAUGUAUGAAACUACAAAAUAUCAACCCAUAAACCCUAAUUGAGUUGUGAAUCUAUGUCGGUUAAAGGACUCUCAUAGUCCAACAGAUACUUUUCUCAAGGCUCAGAGUUAUCUUUGCUCUUUAGUCUCUAUGGUUUUGAAUUUAUAAAGCAGUUGUUUAUUUUUUUAAUGUUAAUCUCUGAGUCCCUAAUGAAAGUGGUAUGAUGGAAACUCUGGUUACAGAAAGUCAUAUUAUUGUGAAUAAAUCAUUAUUCGGAAAUGUGCUUGAUACUAAAAUUUUUUGGCAUUGUUCCCUACAUGAAUAACAGCUAGCAUAGAGAUUUUGAAGUUUCUCUAGAAGUGGACAAAGAAAUUGUGGUUUAACCAGGCUCUGAUCUUUUGGAUUCGUCCCUCUAUCUCUAUGUAUCGAGAAUCAGAUGAUGGCCCACAUCACUAAAAGUAUGAUUCUCGAAAUAGGUUUGUGAUAAGCAUUUCAACCCGUGAUGUGUUUGUUCUCUAUCACCUGCUUAAGAUAUAUAGCAUUAAUAUGGCUAUGUUGUUUAUGGAAUUCAUGAUUUAAGUGCAGAGGACUCAAAUUCUACUGCUAGCCAACCCUAUGGGCUUUUACCUAUAGGAUUUUGGUGGACUAUUUGGUCGAACUCUCUAAGUUUAAACAAGUUGAAGUUUUUGAAAUUAUGACAUUGCACCUUUCAAGCAUGGGUUAUAUUCUAGUUGGUGAGAAAUUACAAAAGAAGGACUUUGUGAAAUCCAAGGUAGAAAUCAUCAAGGUAAAUAUGAUCUCUUAUGACUCUACUGCUUAAUUUCUAAAGAAUGCAGAUGAUAUGAAUACCCAGUUGCUUGUUGUGGAAAAUUGUUUAGAUAUGCUAUAGGAAACUACAGAGAAGAUUCUUUGUCUUCACAAGUACAUAUGAAGGCAUGCUUCAUAUUCCCAUGGAUAUGUUAAAACAGGAAGGGAUCUUUAUUCUGAAUAAGCUGCUCAACUAAGUCAACCCUCCAAGGCUAGAGUUAGCUCCUCCAAUACUGAGAAUUGCUUUCUCUUUUCCGAAAUCUUACAUCACUUCUCCAAGAAUGUGGAACGUUCCUAUAAUACCUUUUGUGGAAAUGUUCUCAACACCCUUAAAUACUCUCUCGAUGAUCAUUAAUCCUACUCGUUAUCUGUUUUGGUGCUCAUUAAAGAAUAUUUUCGUUGGGGUUUGCGCCCAAAUUUGUUUGUGGUUAUGUAUUUUGAGGGUAACAUGAUCUCUUAAAAUUGUUAUGUUGUUUGCUUUUGACUAUCUACGCAUAUUUUUUCAACUGUGUGUAUCUAUAAUUCAAUUAUGGGUUUUUAUGCUUCUUUUUUAUCAUACCAAAGGUGGAGAAAUCCCACAAUUAUCUUAGACAGGGGAAACCUUCAUAAAAAGGGGGAGCUUCACAUUCAAACAGGGAUGUCUACUUUAAAUUUGAUCCUUUUCAUUUGUGGAUUGCUGAGAGAAAUAACAGACAUCUAAUUGAAACAGCUCAAACAUUGCUCAUUCACAAUCAUGCCCCUUUAUGUUUUGGGGUGAUGUUGUUAUUACUGCUUGCUAUUUGACCAAUCACAUGCCUUCAUCUGUUUUGCAGUACCAUAGUCCACACUCGGUCCUUUGUCCAGACCAAAAUUUAUUUCCUCUUCCUCCACGUGUGUUUGGUUGCACUUGUUUUGUUCAUAACCUUACCCCUGGAAUAGAUAAACUUAAGCACAAUGCUUUUAAAUGUGUCUUUCUUGGGUAUUCUCGUCUACAAAACGGUUACAAAUGCUUUGAUCCCUCUACCAAUAAGUACUUGAUCCCUGUAGAUGUUACUUUUUUCGAGACUUCUCCGUAUUUUUCUCCUAAUACGGAAAAUCAAAAGGCCUUAGCUGUCCUUCCCAUUCCAACCCCAGCUCCACCUCCAACUCUUAAGGUUUAUUCCAGACGACCUAAACCUCCUUCUAAACUUUCUAAUCCAGUUGGUAUUUCUAACAAUGAUACAGGUGCACAAAGAAAUCUUGAUGACUCAUUACCUGCUCCAACAAUGUCUUCUGCUUUGGUCGAACACUUAUCUGAUGAUCUUCACAUUGCUCUUCGCAAAGGUACUGGAAGUACUGCCAAUCAAACUCAUGUUUAAUCUUAUUCAAGUUAUUAUAGUUUGUCACCUUCAUAUAAUGCCUUCCUUACUAGCUUAUUAUCAGUCAAAGUUCCUAAGACUAUGGAAAAAGAAUCGGUUCAUCUAGGUUGGCGUCAAGCUAUGAUUGAGGAGAUGACUGCUUUGCAUGAUAAUGGUACUUGGGAGCUUGUUUCUUUACCUGAAGGCAAAACCACAGUUGGUUGUCAUUGGGUAUUCACAGUUAAGGUAGGUUUGGAUGGAGCUAUUGAUCGUCUCAAAGCAAGAUUGGUUCCUAAGGCAUACACUCAGAUUUAUGACAUCUAUUAUGGAGAUACUUUCUCAAUAGUUGCCAAGAUGGCUUAUGUCUAUCUUCUUAUCUCUAUGGUAGCAAUGAAUCAUUGGCCCCUUUUUCAAUGGGACAUAAAAAAUGCAUGGAGAACUUACUAAAGAGGUAUAUAUGGAGCAACCAUCAGGGUUGGUUGCUCGGGAAGAGUCUAGACUAGUUUGUAAAUUUCGUUGAUCCCUCUAUGAGCUCAAGCAGUUUCCUAAAUCAUGGUUUGGUCAUUUUUGAGUUGUUGUCCAACAAUUUGGAAUGAUCUGAACAAAAGUUGAUCACUCUGUAUUCUAUAGGCAUUCAUCUCAUGGCAAACAUAUCUUUUUUAUUUGUUUAUGUUGAUGAUAUUGUUAUCACAUGAGAUGAUUAUGAAGGUAUUGCUCAAGUCAAAAAACACCUCUCAAGUCACUUUCAUACAAAGGUGUCACGACCCAGACUGUCGUGAUUGGCACCCACACUAAGCCUCCGGUGGGAAAACCACUACUACAACCCAAACCAAGAAACUAAACCAAAAUUAAGGCAUUUAAGUAUACGAAAGCAGGAAAAUUACUAAGGAAAGAAAUAGAGUUCCCAUAAACUCUAACAAAAGUCUAACAAUAAUAACUAACAUUGUGGAAGUAACGCCUAGAAUUUGAAAGUCAAUGUACCAAAAUAUCUAACAAUGAACCAAGUCUAAACAAGAAGGGAUACAACCCCAACUAUUGUACUAAUAACUAAUAGAACUGUCGAACUGCGGAAAUGUGGACAUAGACGAAAGGAGAACUCAUGGCAGCCCAGAAGAAUUGGCUCACCCUUGAAUUCAAACGAUCGUCACUAAUCUUCUAAACGAGGUCUGUCAAUAGCUGCCGGAAGAUGCCCUAUACUCAACAAAAAUAAGAGCAAGUGCAGUAUCAGUGCACUGGUAGGAUCACAUGACUAUCCCACUAAGUGCAACAUAAGCAAGUCAAUACAACAUUAUAAACAUGCAAAAUACUGAACAUAUAUAAUAUCGAUUAUCACAUGCUCAAUAAUACACACAAUUAUGACAAGUCAUUGGUCCUCUCAUGGAACCCAAAACCAAACAGUUAGCAUACUGGAACGUGGUACCCAGUCCAAUAUUUAUGCCGGAACGUGGCAAUUGAUCCAAUAAUUAUGUUGGAACGUGGCAACCGAUCCCAAAUAGUUAUGCUGGAACGUGGCAACCAAUUCAUUCAAUACACCACAAUCACAAUCACAAGUAUUCUCUCAAGUUCAUACAAAUAAGUCAUGAUUCAUGGCAUUCAUCAUUCAUCAAUCUUAUUUACAACAAGUGUGAUCAACAAUGCAACAUUCGCAUACAUGUAUGUAUCAUAAUGAAGCACGAACAAAACUAGAUCACACAUUCAUAGGAUCACAACCAUCACCUACCUAAAAACAAACUUGAAAUCCUAAGAAACUCGAUCCUUCCCUUUCUGUAUUCUUUCCGCUUGUUCAUGGUCUAAAAAAAUCAUAAUAACACGGAAAUCAAUAUCACUAAUUACCCGAAUUGCUAACAAUUCUAUGAACCCUAGAUCAAACCCAUGAUCCCAAGUAUCCAAAAUAGGGUUGUUUCCACCAUAGAAUCUACAUCAAAACCCUUCCCCAUCGAUAAUUACCCAUUCUAUUACGUUCUACGGAUCCAAAAAUGGAUUCGGGGAGUAAAAAGCUUACCUUUAGCCUCAAGAAUGGUGGAAAACUGUUAGGAGUCACCUAGACGCCGUUCCUUAGCUCUAAAAAUCGAAAAGUACAGAAUGAGGUCAUUUGGGCGUUUAUUUACGACCUUAAGUCGGGUCGAACCUGCCACAGCGGCCCUCACCCCGCUAAAGCGGCCCCACCAUAGCGACAAAAAGCACCAUCAGGGCGGCUUGCACGAAACAGUGAGCUAUUUAAAGAAUUCCAAAAUCCUCAUUUCACAAGUCACCUCUAACCCACGAUGCUCAGAAAAUACCCUUCAUGCUAAGAUCGAUUCUAGGAGUUCUACUCGCCCGAAUUCAAUUCUGCAAAGUCGUACGAAUUCCUUAACGAGUUAUCUAAUCAUUCAUGUAGCUAGAAUUAUAAAUAAAUUAAACGAUCGCUACCAGAUUUCCUUAUACCUUAAUGACUCCGAUUUCAUCUAAAUCUGGACUAGGUUGGGAAAAUCUAAAUACUACGGGAAAAAAAUUUGGCCCCAAACUUUCUCCCGUUGGCUUCUCUAUAACGAAGCUGGCCGUUAUAAUAGAUACCAAUUUAUCCAUCACUCAUCCCGAGUGACAAACUUAGGGAAAAGAGGCUAAGGAAAUAAUGAAUUAGUACCUGAAUCGACAAACAAUUGGGGAUACUUGUCUCGCAUGUCCCUCUCAGUUUCCCAAGUAGCUUCCUCAACUGGACGAUGCUUCCAUUGAUAUUUCACGAACUUAAUCUCCUUGGUUCUCAACUUGCGCACAUCACGAUCAAGAAUUUCCACAUGUUCCUCUUCAUGUUGGAGGUCCUUGUCUAACACAAUUGAGUCCCAUUUAAUGAUAUAAUCCCCAUCACUAUAUUACAUCUUCAACACGGACACAUGAAAUACCGGAUGAACAUCCGAUUGAUUAGGAGGCAAAGCCAAUCUAUAUUCUACCGGUCCAACACAUUCAAGAAUCUCAAAGGGACCAAUGUAUCUAGGACAUAGCUUACCUUUCUUACCAAAUCUCAUCACCCCUUUCAUGAGUGAUACCUUAAGAAGACCAUUUUCACCGUCUUGAAAUGCCAUGUCUCUUACCUUAUGAUCCGCAUACUUCUUCUAUCUACUCUGGGUUGCUAAAAGCUUAGCUUGAAUACUCCUCACUUUAUCUUCAGCAUCCUUCAAUAAAUCAACCCCCAAAGGUUUCACAUCCCAGCCUCGAACCAUCCUAUGGGUGAUCUACAUCCCCUCCCAUAGAGUGCCUCAAAUGGUGCCAUAUCUAUGCUAGAGUGAUAACUAUUAUUAUAGGAAAAUUCACACAAAGGUAAGAACUUAUCCCAAUGUCCUUCAGAAUCAAUCACACGUGCGCUCAAUAUGUCUUCUAACACUUGAAUAGUCCUUUUUGACUGUCCGUCUAUUUGUGGAUUGAAGGUUGUACUAAAAGUGAGUUGUAUGCCCAAUUCAUCAUGUAAUUUUCUUCCAAAACAUGGAUGUGAAUUGGGUACGACGUUCUGAGAUGAUAGAGAGGGGCACCCCGUGCAACUUCACUAUCUCUUCCACGUAAACUUUAGCCAAUUGUUCAGCAUUAUAAUCUAUUCUUACCAGAAUAAAAUGGGAUGACUUGGUCAAUCUAUCAACCACUACCCAAAUAGAAUCAAACUUCCCCAAAGUCUUGGGAAUUGACAUUCAUUGAAGCAAACCUGCAGGUCUUUGAUAUUCAUACUUCACUUGUUGACAAUUUGGACACUUCGCCACAAACUCCGCUAUAUCCUUCUUCAUGCCCAGCCACCAAUAAAUUCACUUCAAAUCUUGAUACAUCUUGGUCACACCCGGAAUAAUAGAAUAUCGCGAACCAUGAGACUCUGCCAAUAAUUUCUCAAUUAAGUCAUCUAAUCUAGGUAGAAAUAUUCUCCCUUUAAAAUUGAGCAUACCAUCCGCAUCAAGAGUGUUCUCUUGUGCCUUACCAUUCACAGACUUCUUCCUAAGCUCCUCCAAAUUCUCAUCCUCAAAUUGUUUGGCCUUGAUCUCCUCAAUGAACGUGGCCCUUACUUCAAUACUAGCUAACACCCCACCUCUUUCUGAAAUGCCCAAUUGCAUGUACUUACACUCUAAGGUCUGAAUUUCCUUGGCUAAGGGUCGCUUGGAAACACUUAAGUAAACUAAACUACCCAUACUCACCGCUUUCCGACUCAAAGCGUCUGCCACUACAUUAGCCUUACCCGGAUGGUAUUGAAUGGUGACAUCAUAAUCUUUAAGUAACUCCAUCCACCUUCAUUGUCUCAAAUUCAGAUCAUUUUGAGUGAACAUAUGCUGCAAACUAUGAUGAUCAAUAAAUACCUCACAUUUAACACCACAGAGGUAAUGUCACCAGAUCUUAAGAGCAAACACUACCGCUGCCAAAACUAAAUCAUGUGUUGGAUAAUUCCUCUCAUGCACCUUCAAUUGACGUGAGGCAUAAGCUAUCACAUUCUUAUCCUGCAUCAACACCACACCCAAACCAGAAUAUGAAGCAUCACAAGAAAUAAUAAAAUAUUUACCUUCCACUAGUAAUGGUAGGAUAGGUGCAGUGGUCAAGAGAGUCUUGAGCUUUUGAAACCUCUCCUCACAUUUUUCGGUCCAUUCAAAUGGUAUCUCCUUUUUGGUCAAAUUGGUCAAGUGAGUGGCAAUAGAAGCAAAGUUCUUUAUAAAUCGACGAUAAUAGCUAGCGAGCCUAACAAAGCUCCUAACUUCUGUCACAGAGCUAGGCCGUACUCAAUUCUUAACCGCCUUAAUCUUUUGAGGAUCUACCAUUACACCUUCUUUUGAGACUAUAUGUCCCAAAAAUGCAAUCGAUGUCAACCAAAAUUCACAUUUAGAAAAUUUAGCAUACAACCUUUGGAUUAUGGAUUCAAGGUUCAUGAUCUCAUCUUUAUGGAUGAUUUCAUGAUGUUUAGAUGUACCUUGGAGUGUUGGAAUCAACUAGAAAACAUAGGUAUAUUGCUAAGGAACAAGUGCGAAAAGGUGGGGAACGAAUGGGGAGAACUGGCAUCCCUGGCGCUGUGAGAGUCGCGGGGCACCAGCCCUCAAAAUUCAGAGAACAGUUUGGGGCGCUCUGGCUGGAAAGUCGCCCCAGAGCCCCAUAUUUAGAGACUAUUUUGCGGCAAACUGAGAGGCGUGGCGCCCCAGCCCCUUCCCCAAAAAAUCCUGAAUUUUCUUUUUCAUUUUUAAACUCUAAACCCUCUAAUUUCACGUAGUUCUUUCGGCAAACUGAGAGACUAUUUAGAGACUAUUUUGCGGCAAACUGAGAGGCGUGGCGCCCCAGCCCCUUCCCCAAAAAAUCCUGAAUUUUCUUUUUCAUUUUUAAACUCUAAACCCUCUAAUUUCACGUAGUUCUUUCGGCAAACUGAGAGACUAUUUAGAGACUAUUUUGCGGCAAACUGAGAGGCGUGGCGCCCCAGCCCCUUCCCCAAAAAAUCCUGAAUUUUCUUUUUCAUUUUUAAACUCUAAACCCUCUAAUUUCACGUAGUUCUUUCCCUAAACACUUAGAAUCAUUUAUAUUCUCAAUAUAUGGUAGAUUCAAACUGAAAUUACACCCAAAAAACAUGAAUCAAAGUGCAAGAAACUUCAACAGCACAACCCAUAAGAAUUUAAACGAAACCUUCAACAAUGUUCAUCAAGAACUCAAUUUCUAAACUUUCAAAGACUUAAAUUCGCUGAAUUGAAUCAUGGUUGUCGCGUGGGUGAACUAACCCAAUGAUAUGUAAUCUCACAUACAUUGUAGGAAUCACCCCCGAUGAAAUCCACAAGCUAAACUCGACGAUCUUGACGAAUCUUGCUUCUCUUUUCCUUUCUCCUCUUCUUUUCACUUUUCUUCAAGCCGUACGGUAUUUUGGUAAAAGCGUAAACUGAUCUAAUUCUAAUUAUACCCUAACUUAAUUACCAAAAAUGAAAUAAAAUAAUUGGGCAAGGAAAACACCAAACUACCCUUUCAAAAUCCGGAUUGGACUUUCCUUAUUCCAACAACCCAACUUCCAAAGUGGAUAACUCACUCAUACGAACUCGGAAUUGCGCAAACUCAGCGGUAUUUGAAAUAUUAUUCUAAGAGCUUUCCUACCAUAUCUGGAAGUACCUCUAAGUCAUCCUUAGCUAGAAGUUAUGUCCAUUUGAAGUUGGUCAAAACUCAACUUAUUCUAACUUAACAAAAUUUCCAGAUUUUCAUUCUUUCAAAAAUGACUAUUUCCAAUUAUUAGCUUCUUCCUAGUUAUUUCAAAUUGCGAGAUGUUACAUGAUUGACCUUUUCAGAAUUUAUAUAUAGGAAUUGAGAAUGGAUAUGCAGUAGUGUCACUAUUAGUUGAUUGAGUUAUGCGGUCAAUAUGUUUCCGUAACUAAUCGAUUGUAAUUUUAUUUUUUCAUUAUCCUAUUAUGAAUCAAAUUUUAAUAUAUUGGUAUAUGUAAUUAAAUAUUAAUUGUAGGGUAUUAUGUGAAUACCAUUAGAUUUAUGAUAUUGGAUAAAUUGGGAUUUAAUCUUAGGCUUGAAACUUAAGAACUUGAUUAUAGAUUUGGGUGAGUUUUUGAGUCUAGUCUAAACCUAUGGUAAUAUGGAUAUUGUUAUUUUAGAAAUCUUAUUGCAAUUAUGUACUUGAAUAGAUUGCAUUAAUUUGGAAGCUCAACGAAAAGGGAAGGCUCAAGUUCCGGAGUGAACUAUUGAUUAAUUGAGGCAAGUGGAUUUCUAAACCCUUGUUAAGUGCAUAUAAUUGUGUAUUUCCUUGUGGUCUGUGUUGGAAAGUAAUGAGAAUUGGUGAUGGGUUGACUUAUCCAUGUUGAAUAAUUCUAAUGAUAGAAAAAUGGUAUUAAAAAGGCAAUAUGAUUAAUUGGUGGCGUGUGAUGUUUGAGAAUGAUUUGAAAAACUUGUUGAUUCUUUGUGUUGUUGUGAAUUUUGAAAUGUGAUGAAAAUGGUCAUCUCCUCAUUAUUGUGAACAUGUCAUUUGCAUUAUUUUGAUACAUGAUUGUGACAAGUGUUAUGUGAACUUAGAAAAAAUAAGAAAUUAAAGAGGAUGUAUCAUUUCGAGGGACAUGUCACGCGCCGCGAUGAAUACUAUUUUUGAGGGACGUAUCGCACCUCGCGAUGGAUUCUAUUAUCAAGGGAUGUGUCACGGGCAGUGAUGGAUGCAUGGAUAGAUAUGUCCCCCAUGGGUCCUAAACUAAGAGAUAGCGGGUGUGUAUCGUUAGGUCAGACAUGCAUCACUAUACUUGACAUUGCAUUUCAUUGCAUUGCACAUUUUUAUCAAUGAUGAACUUGAUCUUGUGUGUUGCUGAUCUUGUUAGUGCCUUUAUGUGGAUGUUGUGGUUGAUGAAUAUUAAGUUGAUGUUGAGGAUAUGUAAUUUGUUAGAGUGUUGUUGUUGAGUUGUGUACUAUGUAAACUGUGAACUGUUAGGUUGGGCUGAUUUUAUGCAGGUUGUAGUUGUGAAGGUUCGAAUGGGAUGUAAGGAGUACCUGUAUUAUGUCCCCUUAACUUGUGUUUAGAGGUUUGCUUGUUGAGUACCGUGUGGUCUGGUACUCAUCCCUUGCUAUUACAUUUUUGUAGGUUACAAGCUCGGAUCUUCGUGAAACUUUCUCUUCUCUCCUUAUCCGAGGCUUUCUGUGGAGAUUUGUGAGGUAGUUGUUUGUCAUCUCAGUAGACCUUCUUACUCCUAUUUAUGAUUUUGUUCUACUUUUGAGACAAUGUCAUGUGAAACUUACAUGUUUUCUUUAAAUUUCAUUAUAUUACAUUAGAGGUUUGUACACGUGAUAACCAGGUUUUGGAGGUAUUUUUAAGUUCAUUAUAAAUUUCUGCAUUUUUUUUGUAAUUGUUGAGUUUUAGGCUGACUUGUCUUGGUGGGAUAAGACGAGUGCCAACCCGUCAACUUUUGGGUCGUGACAAAAUGGUAUCUGAGCCCUAGGUUCAUAGGUCUCACAUGUGUACAAGACGAGUCUAAGUAGAGUCUCGAGGAUCGGUAUGAAGACGUCUAUACUUAUCUUCGAGAGGCUAUAGUGACUUUUAGGAAAAAACUUCACUUUUUGAAUAUCUAUCGUGCGUCGUUGGUCCAAUUUGAUUUUUAUCUCUUCAUUCCAUUCUCUUUCACUUAUAUGAUGACUCGUGCGUAGUUCCUCAUGUGAGUAGUUUGUGCCGUGUAUGACUUGAAUGUUAGACCUAGUACUAAAAUUGAAGUGAUAAACUUAUGGAAAUGAUAUGUGGUAAGAUUAAGAAUGUUCAGCAAUUUGAAAGGAUUAAGUAAGGUGAUGACUCGAUGAUGCAGUUGAACAAUGGUUCGAGGGACUUCAUAAACGUGUUAUCUUUUUUUUGGGUAGCUACCCCAGCAAAGGGAAUACUAUAAACUUGUGUGGUAUAGGCAAUAUCUUGAGUGGUUUGACAAUUGGAAGUGGAAUGAUUAAAGGCGUGGCUAGAUAAUGAACAAUGUAUCUUUGGAAACUACAAUUAGUAAAUUUAUCAUAACAUGAAUGAGUUGCUUAGCAAAUGAUGAGAAUGAUGUUGCACCAGUUGAAGACAUAAUAUCCACUACGAUUUCAUAAAUUGAGUAUAUAUCAAAAAGGGUCAUGAUAUGACUAUUAUAAUGGUAUCGAUUCUUACUUGGUUAUAGUUAUAGAGUAUGUUACUUCUGUCAUCGACCCAAUCUCAGAUAUAGUGCAUAUCGGUUUGGGUUAGAGACCAAACAAAUUUGGUAAUGUACUUUAGAUAGUUAAUGGGCAAAAAUGUGUGGGUUAAUUGAAUACAAUCCUUUUGGUGGGUAUGAUAUGUUCUAGUGGUGGAUCUAAUAAAUUUUUAUGGUGUGAUACUAGUGGUAUAUGGAAAUGAAUACACCGAUUGUCAAGUGCAAAUACUGACUACUUAAAGAGUUAUCAUUGGUAUCACAUGCUCGUAUAUUGAGAUUCGAUGUUGCAUUCACAUUUGAGAAACCAACUAGAUUGUUACUGCAGAUGUUUGGGGUUAAGAAGAGUGUAUAAGAAAUAUUUUAGUGGUGGAUCGUUGAUAUAGUAUUAAUGCGUUAAGUUGAGAAGUGUAUCCCGAGAGUUCUAAAUGAGGACCGGUGCUUUCAUCUUAAGGUCCAAGAGAAUGGAUAAGUACCAGAAUGACAAGCUUAUGGGUAAAGAAAGUCCCAAAGAGUAUACUUGUGUGAAGCCAAUUGAGAAUAUUAGUAAGAAAAAAAAUGCGUACAAAAUUGGGUUAAUCCUUUGGAUUUGUUUGGUAUAGUUGGGUUUGAGGUGUAAUCUUGAUGGAGAGGUCGAAUUUGUGGUGAUGGCAAGGGCUAACUAAGCAGGAUGUAAUAAGGGUUUAUGAUGGAUUGUGAUUGAGAUGCAACUAUAUAAUCAUGAUCGUUGGUUAAAUAAUUUUGUGUAUUGUAAUGACGACUUGUGAGUAUCUAAGGUUAUGGUUAGCUACUAUUUGGUGAAUAAAAUGGUCGUAGGAAAAGUUGUAGGAGGUUUUGAGACACCGCUUGAAUAGAAUUGAAAGAAACUAGAAUCAUAAAUGGAAAGAAUUAGUGGGAUGUAGCUUAGCUUUCAGAAAGAGCAGAGAAUAAGGAUAAUUACUUUGAUUGAAAGGGAAAAAUAUAUAUAUUAAGAAAGAGUGGAGAAUUGGAAUCAGAGACAAGUGGUUCCAUCUGUUUUGCUCUGGUCAUGGUAUUAGUGUUGCAUGUCAUCAGAUUGGUUAAAAAUUGUUUGGUAUGAUUUGAAAAAGAAGUCUAGAUACAUUUGAGUAGAGGGUGGUGAUAAAUGCUCUUAUGAUUUCAGUUUGGUUAUCUAGUAUAGUUUAAAUUUUAACGAUGAAUACAAUAAGAUCGAUGGAGAGACAAUCAAUGACGAGCUAAGAUAUGUGAAUUCAUAAAAAUCUUCAAGGUAUGAGCUAAUGUUGAUAUUUAAGAGGAUUGGGUUACACAAUUAGAUUUAGAAUUCAAGUUUUUCCUUGUAAGUGUACGUUUGUGGUAGUGUGUUUUGUCAAGUUAUGGAUUGGUAAGGUACGGAAUGACCGAUCGCAUUGGGUGUUGAGCAUUUUAAAGGACUUGUGCAUGGUUUGAAUCAUAAAGUUUGUUAUUUUUUUUAUUGUUAAAGGACUUAAGGAAGAGUUUCACUGAAAAGUUUUGGUUUAGAGUAUAAAGAGAAAUGUCAUGGGUUGUUGGUCAAAAGGAUAAGAUUGGUAAGCAAGUUAGCGAAGGGAACAAGAGUCUGAUAUGUUGAAGAGUUCAAGGCAGUUGAAUUUGGCAUCAUGGGAAGAAUUUAAGAAAGGUAAAGGAAUAAGACCUCUCCUAUAAACCCUUGGUUUGAUGUUGAAGGUCGUAUUGAUUUUUGCAUAUGAAUUUAGAUAUGAAUGUGAGAUGUGAACUAGUUCGGUACAAACUUACUAGCGGUUUAUCAUCGAACUUUUAUAAAGAUUGAGUUUUGGCCUAGGUGACAACAGUGAUGUAUGGAAGAUUUUAUGUAUUUAUGUGGGGGUUAGGUUGUUCAAAUUAUGGUAAUCGAAUUUGUCACGUCCCGAGCCUACACCCUAGGCGGGACUGACACUCAAGAACCAUUGUUGGCCCAAAUUGAACCCUUGGCCUGACUUACUUACUCAGCGAAAGACUCUAAGCAUUAUUACAAUGAUCAAAUGCACUUCUACUCAACUGUUUAAUAAAAUAACUUAGAACGUGUAAAGGUCAAACAUUCAACUUGGCCAAAAUGGCAACUCAAGUCUUUACAUAUGAAAUAAUAAUGUAAAGACAACUAAACUACUAAUUGUCUAUGAAGCCUCUAAAACAAGGAGGGAUGUCGGGACAAGACCCCCGAUCAUCCUAACAACUGAAAUACUAGGAAGCAAAGUAAAAGGAGUCCUCCGGAAGACUUUGAUUGCUCAACUGGAUCAACAGGGCCCUGGAUGCUGAUCCUGAUUUCCUGUGUCUGCAUCAUAAAACGAUGCAAGCCAAAUGGCAUCUCCAUGUGCUAGUAUGCGAGGGGAAUACUAAAUUAUAACGUAAGCUUGAAAAGAAUCUGAAAGGAACACUUACCUUGGCUUUACUCAACUCAUGAAUAACUUAACUCAAUAUAAAGCAAUAAUACACAUGCAAUAUAUAGAAAGCUUUUUCAAACAGUAGAAAGCAACUCAGUCUGUUAAUGAAAAUGUAAUAACAAUUCAACUUACUCAUAUAAUAAAGUAAUGCAAUAUUGUGAGAGUUUCUCUAACCGACAACCACCACUAUGAUCCUAAGUGAUGAUACAUUGUCUUUCACACACUACCAUAAUUGUCCUAUACUUUGCCAUCAUAUAGAACGCCUUAACUAAGUGGAUCCACUAGUCUAUGCUAAAAAUCACUUAAGGAAUCAUCUAAAAAGUAUGAUCCUUUACUACCCAUGAUGGCUACAUGGUUUAUUGAGACUUGAGUUAUUAUGAACUCGCACCCCCAUAUUAGUGCCCAAUACUACUCCCAAAAUAUACUCAGCUCAUAUGUUUUUAAAACAAAACUUCUUUCUUUGGUUUGAGAUAAUUACNNNNNNNNNNNNNNNNNNNNNNNNNNNNNNNNNNNNNNNNNNNNNNNNNNNNNNNNNNNNNNNNNNNNNNNNNNNNNNNNNNNNNNNNNNNNNNNNNNNNNNNNNNNNNNNNNNNNNNNNNNNNNNNNNNNNNNNNNNNNNNNNNNNNNNNNNNNNNNNNNNNNNNNNNNNNNNNNNNNNNNNNNNNNNNNNNNNNNNNNNNNNNNNNNNNNNNNNNNNNNNNNNNNNNNNNNNNNNNNNNNNNNNNNNNNNNNNNNNNNNNNNNNNNNNNNNNNNNNNNNNNNNNNNNNNNNNNNNNNNNNNNNNNNNNNNNNNNNNNNNNNNNNNNNNNNNNNNNNNNNNNNNNNNNNNNNNNNNNNNNNNNNNNNNNNNNNNNNNNNNNNNNNNNNNNNNNNNNNNNNNNNNNNNNNNNNNNNNNNNNNNNNNNNNNNNNNNNNNNNNNNNNNNNNNNNNNNNNNNNNNNNNNNNNNNNNNNNNNNNNNNNNNNNNNNNNNNNNNNNNNNNNNNNNNNNNNNNNNNNNNNNNNNNNNNNNNNNNNNNNNNNNNNNNNNNNNNNNNNNNNNNNNNNNNNNNNNNNNNNNNNNNNNNNNNNNNNNNNNNNNNNNNNNNNNNNNNNNNNNNNNNNNNNNNNNNNNNNNNNNNNNNNNNNNNNNNNNNNNNNNNNNNNNNNNNNNNNNNNNNNNNNNNNNNNNNNNNNNNNNNNNNNNNNNNNNNNNNNNNNNNNNNNNNNNNNNNNNNNNNNNNNNNNNNNNNNNNNNNNNNNNNNNNNNNNNNNNNNNNNNNNNNNNNNNNNNNNNNNNNNNNNNNNNNNNNNNNNNNNNNNNNNNNNNNNNNNNNNNNNNNNNNNNNNNNNNNNNNNNNNNNNNNNNNNNNNNNNNNNNNNNNNNNNNNNNNNNNNNNNNNNNNNNNNNNNNNNNNNNNNNNNNNNNNNNNNNNNNNNNNNNNNNNNNNNNNNNNNNNNNNNNNNNNNNNNNNNNNNNNNNNNNNNNNNNNNNNNNNNNNNNNNNNNNNNNNNNNNNNNNNNNNNNNNNNNNNNNNNNNNNNNNNNNNNNNNNNNNNNNNNNNNNNNNNNNNNNNNNNNNNNNNNNNNNNNNNNNNNNNNNNNNNNNNNNNNNNNNNNNNNNNNNNNNNNNNNNNNNNNNNNNNNNNNNNNNNNNNNNNNNNNNNNNNNNNNNNNNNNNNNNNNNNNNNNNNNNNNNNNNNNNNNNNNNNNNNNNNNNNNNNNNNNNNNNNNNNNNNNNNNNNNNNNNNNNNNNNNNNNNNNNNNNNNNNNNNNNNNNNNNNNNNNNNNNNNNNNNNNNNNNNNNNNNNNNNNNNNNNNNNNNNNNNNNNNNNNNNNNNNNNNNNNNNNNNNNNNNNNNNNNNNNNNNNNNNNNNNNNNNNNNNNNNNNNNNNNNNNNNNNNNNNNNNNNNNNNNNNNNNNNNNNNNNNNNNNNNNNNNNNNNNNNNNNNNNNNNNNNNNNNNNNNNNNNNNNNNNNNNNNNNNNNNNNNNNNNNNNNNNNNNNNNNNNNNNNNNNNNNNNNNNNNNNNNNNNNNNNNNNNNNNNNNNNNNNNNNNNNNNNNNNNNNNNNNNNNNNNNNNNNNNNNNNNNNNNNNNNNNNNNNNNNNNNNNNNNNNNNNNNNNNNNNNNNNNNNNNNNNNNNNNNNNNNNNNNNNNNNNNNNNNNNNNNNNNNNNNNNNNNNNNNNNNNNNNNNNNNNNNNNNNNNNNNNNNNNNNNNNNNNNNNNNNNNNNNNNNNNNNNNNNNNNNNNNNNNNNNNNNNNNNNNNNNNNNNNNNNNNNNNNNNNNNNNNNNNNNNNNNNNNNNNNNNNNNNNNNNNNNNNNNNNNNNNNNNNNNNNNNNNNNNNNNNNNNNNNNNNNNNNNNNNNNNNNNNNNNNNNNNNNNNNNNNNNNNNNNNNNNNNNNNNNNNNNNNNNNNNNNNNNNNNNNNNNNNNNNNNNNNNNNNNNNNNNNNNNNNNNNNNNNNNNNNNNNNNNNNNNNNNNNNNNNNNNNNNNNNNNNNNNNNNNNNNNNNNNNNNNNNNNNNNNNNNNNNNNNNNNNNNNNNNNNNNNNNNNNNNNNNNNNNNNNNNNNNNNNNNNNNNNNNNNNNNNNNNNNNNNNNNNNNNNNNNNNNNNNNNNNNNNNNNNNNNNNNNNNNNNNNNNNNNNNNNNNNNNNNNNNNNNNNNNNNNNNNNNNNNNNNNNNNNNNNNNNNNNNNNNNNNNNNNNNNNNNNNNNNNNNNNNNNNNNNNNNNNNNNNNNNNNNNNNNNNNNNNNNNNNNNNNNNNNNNNNNNNNNNNNNNNNNNNNNNNNNNNNNNNNNNNNNNNNNNNNNNNNNNNNNNNNNNNNNNNNNNNNNNNNNNNNNNNNNNNNNNNNNNNNNNNNNNNNNNNNNNNNNNNNNNNNNNNNNNNNNNNNNNNNNNNNNNNNNNNNNNNNNNNNNNNNNNNNNNNNNNNNNNNNNNNNNNNNNNNNNNNNNNNNNNNNNNNNNNNNNNNNNNNNNNNNNNNNNNNNNNNNNNNNNNNNNNNNNNNNNNNNNNNNNNNNNNNNNNNNNNNNNNNNNNNNNNNNNNNNNNNNNNNNNNNNNNNNNNNNNNNNNNNNNNNNNNNNNNNNNNNNNNNNNNNNNNNNNNNNNNNNNNNNNNNNNNNNNNNNNNNNNNNNNNNNNNNNNNNNNNNNNNNNNNNNNNNNNNNNNNNNNNNNNNNNNNNNNNNNNNNNNNNNNNNNNNNNNNNNNNNNNNNNNNNNNNNNNNNNNNNNNNNNNNNNNNNNNNNNNNNNNNNNNNNNNNNNNNNNNNNNNNNNNNNNNNNNNNNNNNNNNNNNNNNNNNNNNNNNNNNNNNNNNNNNNNNNNNNNNNNNNNNNNNNNNNNNNNNNNNNNNNNNNNNNNNNNNNNNNNNCGAAAAGGUGGGGAACGAAUGGGGAGAACUGGCAUCCCUGGCGCUGUGAGAGUCGCGGGGCACCAGCCCUCAAAAUUCAGAGAACAGUUUGGGGCGCUCUGGCUGGAAAGUCGCCCCAGAGCCCCAUAUUUAGAGACUAUUUUGCGGCAAACUGAGAGGCGUGGCGCCCCAGCCCCUUCCCCAAAAAAUCCUGAAUUUUCUUUUUCAUUUUUAAACUCUAAACCCUCUAAUUUCACGUAGUUCUUUCGGCAAACUGAGAGACUAUUUAGAGACUAUUUUGCGGCAAACUGAGAGGCGUGGCGCCCCAGCCCCUUCCCCAAAAAAUCCUGAAUUUUCUUUUUCAUUUUUAAACUCUAAACCCUCUAAUUUCACGUAGUUCUUUCGGCAAACUGAGAGACUAUUUAGAGACUAUUUUGCGGCAAACUGAGAGGCGUGGCGCCCCAGCCCCUUCCCCAAAAAAUCCUGAAUUUUCUUUUUCAUUUUUAAACUCUAAACCCUCUAAUUUCACGUAGUUCUUUCCCUAAACACUUAGAAUCAUUUAUAUUCUCAAUAUAUGGUAGAUUCAAACUGAAAUUACACCCAAAAAACAUGAAUCAAAGUGCAAGAAACUUCAACAGCACAACCCAUAAGAAUUUAAACGAAACCUUCAACAAUGUUCAUCAAGAACUCAAUUUCUAAACUUUCAAAGACUUAAAUUCGCUGAAUUGAAUCAUGGUUGUCGCGUGGGUGAACUAACCCAAUGAUAUGUAAUCUCACAUACAUUGUAGGAAUCACCCCCGAUGAAAUCCACAAGCUAAACUCGACGAUCUUGACGAAUCUUGCUUCUCUUUUCCUUUCUCCUCUUCUUUUCACUUUUCUUCAAGCCGUACGGUAUUUUGGUAAAAGCGUAAACUGAUCUAAUUCUAAUUAUACCCUAACUUAAUUACCAAAAAUGAAAUAAAAUAAUUGGGCAAGGAAAACACCAAACUACCCUUUCAAAAUCCGGAUUGGACUUUCCUUAUUCCAACAACCCAACUUCCAAAAGUGGAUAACUCACUCAUACGAACUCGGAAUUGCGCAAACUCAGCGGUAUUUGAAAUAUUAUUCUAAGAGCUUUCCUACCAUAUCUGGAAGUACCUCUAAGUCAUCCUUAGCUAGAAGUUAUGUCCAAUUGGACUUUCCUUAUUCCAACAACCCAACUUCCAAAGUGGAUAACUCACUCAUACGAACUCGGAAUUGCGCAAACUCAGCGGUAUUUGAAAUAUUAUUCUAAGAGCUUUCCUACCAUAUCUGGAAGUACCUCUAAGUCAUCCUUAGCUAGAAGUUAUGUCCAUUUGAAGUUGGUCAAAACUCAACUUAUUCUAACUUAACAAAAUUUCCAGAUUUUCAUUCUUUCAAAAAUGACUAUUUCCAAUUAUUAGCUUCUUCCUAGUUAUUUCAAAUUGCGAGAUGUUACAUGAUUGACCUUUUCAGAAUUUAUAUAUAGGAAUUGAGAAUGGAUAUGCAGUAGUGUCACUAUUAGUUGAUUGAGUUAUGCGGUCAAUAUGUUUCCGUAACUAAUCGAUUGUAAUUUUAUUUUUUCAUUAUCCUAUUAUGAAUCAAAUUUUAAUAUAUUGGUAUAUGUAAUUAAAUAUUAAUUGUAGGGUAUUAUGUGAAUACCAUUAGAUUUAUGAUAUUGGAUAAAUUGGGAUUUAAUCUUAGGCUUGAAACUUAAGAACUUGAUUAUAGAUUUGGGUGAGUUUUUGAGUCUAGUCUAAACCUAUGGUAAUAUGGAUAUUGUUAUUUUAGAAAUCUUAUUGCAAUUAUGUACUUGAAUAGAUUGCAUUAAUUUGGAAGCUCAACGAAAAGGGAAGGCUCAAGUUCCGGAGUGAACUAUUGAUUAAUUGAGGCAAGUGGAUUUCUAAACCCUUGUUAAGUGCAUAUAAUUGUGUAUUUCCUUGUGGUCUGUGUUGGAAAGUAAUGAGAAUUGGUGAUGGGUUGACUUAUCCAUGUUGAAUAAUUCUAAUGAUAGAAAAAUGGUAUUAAAAAGGCAAUAUGAUUAAUUGGUGGCGUGUGAUGUUUGAGAAUGAUUUGAAAAACUUGUUGAUUCUUUGUGUUGUUGUGAAUUUUGAAAUGUGAUGAAAAUGGUCAUCUCCUCAUUAUUGUGAACAUGUCAUUUGCAUUAUUUUGAUACAUGAUUGUGACAAGUGUUAUGUGAACUUAGAAAAAAUAAGAAAUUAAAGAGGAUGUAUCAUUUCGAGGGACAUGUCACGCGCCGCGAUGAAUACUAUUUUUGAGGGACGUAUCGCACCUCGCGAUGGAUUCUAUUAUCAAGGGAUGUGUCACGGGCAGUGAUGGAUGCAUGGAUAGAUAUGUCCCCCAUGGGUCCUAAACUAAGAGAUAGCGGGUGUGUAUCGUUAGGUCAGACAUGCAUCACUAUACUUGACAUUGCAUUUCAUUGCAUUGCACAUUUUUAUCAAUGAUGAACUUGAUCUUGUGUGUUGCUGAUCUUGUUAGUGCCUUUAUGUGGAUGUUGUGGUUGAUGAAUAUUAAGUUGAUGUUGAGGAUAUGUAAUUUGUUAGAGUGUUGUUGUUGAGUUGUGUACUAUGUAAACUGUGAACUGUUAGGUUGGGCUGAUUUUAUGCAGGUUGUAGUUGUGAAGGUUCGAAUGGGAUGUAAGGAGUACCUGUAUUAUGUCCCCUUAACUUGUGUUUAGAGGUUUGCUUGUUGAGUACCGUGUGGUUUGGUAAUCACCGCUUGCUUCUACAUUUUUGUAGGUUAUGAGCCCGUAUCUUCGUGACACUUUUUAUUCUCUUCUUAUCUGAGGCUUCUUGUGGAGACUUGUGAGGUAGUUGUUUGUCAUCUCAGUAGACCUUCUUACUCCUAUUUAUGAUUUUGUUCUACUUUUGAGACAAUGUCAUGUGAAACUUACAUGUUUUCUUUAAAUUUCAUUAUAUUACAUUAGAGGUUUGUACACGUGAUAACCAGGUUUUGGAGGUAUUUUUAAGUUCAUUAUAAAUUUCUGCAUUUUUUUUGUAAUUGUUGAGUUUUAGGCUGACUUGUCUUGGUGGGAUAAGACGAGUGCCAACCCGUCAACUUUUGGGUCGUGACAAAAUGGUAUCUGAGCCCUAGGUUCAUAGGUCUCACAUGUGUACAAGACGAGUCUAAGUAGAGUCUCGAGGAUCGGUAUGAAGACGUCUAUACUUAUCUUCGAGAGGCUAUAGUGACUUUUAGGAAAAAACUUCACUUUUUGAAUAUCUAUCGUGCGUCGUUGGUCCAAUUUGAUUUUUAUCUCUUCAUUCCAUUCUCUUUCACUUAUAUGAUGACUCGUGCGUAGUUCCUCAUGUGAGUAGUUUGUGCCGUGUAUGACUUGAAUGUUAGACCUAGUACUAAAAUUGAAGUGAUAAACUUAUGGAAAUGAUAUGUGGUAAGAUUAAGAAUGUUCAGCAAUUUGAAAGGAUUAAGUAAGGUGAUGACUCGAUGAUGCAGUUGAACAAUGGUUCGAGGGACUUCAUAAACGUGUUAUCUUUUUUUUGGGUAGCUACCCCAGCAAAGGGAAUACUAUAAACUUGUGUGGUAUAGGCAAUAUCUUGAGUGGUUUGACAAUUGGAAGUGGAAUGAUUAAAGGCGUGGCUAGAUAAUGAACAAUGUAUCUUUGGAAACUACAAUUAGUAAAUUUAUCAUAACAUGAAUGAGUUGCUUAGCAAAUGAUGAGAAUGAUGUUGCACCAGUUGAAGACAUAAUAUCCACUACGAUUUCAUAAAUUGAGUAUAUAUCAAAAAGGGUCAUGAUAUGACUAUUAUAAUGGUAUCGAUUCUUACUUGGUUAUAGUUAUAGAGUAUGUUACUUCUGUCAUCGACCCAAUCUCAGAUAUAGUGCAUAUCGGUUUGGGUUAGAGACCAAACAAAUUUGGUAAUGUACUUUAGAUAGUUAAUGGGCAAAAAUGUGUGGGUUAAUUGAAUACAAUCCUUUUGGUGGGUAUGAUAUGUUCUAGUGGUGGAUCUAAUAAAUUUUUAUGGUGUGAUACUAGUGGUAUAUGGAAAUGAAUACACCGAUUGUCAAGUGCAAAUACUGACUACUUAAAGAGUUAUCAUUGGUAUCACAUGCUCGUAUAUUGAGAUUCGAUGUUGCAUUCACAUUUGAGAAACCAACUAGAUUGUUACUGCAGAUGUUUGGGGUUAAGAAGAGUGUAUAAGAAAUAUUUUAGUGGUGGAUCGUUGAUAUAGUAUUAAUGCGUUAAGUUGAGAAGUGUAUCCCGAGAGUUCUAAAUGAGGACCGGUGCUUUCAUCUUAAGGUCCAAGAGAAUGGAUAAGUACCAGAAUGACAAGCUUAUGGGUAAAGAAAGUCCCAAAGAGUAUACUUGUGUGAAGCCAAUUGAGAAUAUUAGUAAGAAAAAAAAUGCGUACAAAAUUGGGUUAAUCCUUUGGAUUUGUUUGGUAUAGUUGGGUUUGAGGUGUAAUCUUGAUGGAGAGGUCGAAUUUGUGGUGAUGGCAAGGGCUAACUAAGCAGGAUGUAAUAAGGGUUUAUGAUGGAUUGUGAUUGAGAUGCAACUAUAUAAUCAUGAUCGUUGGUUAAAUAAUUUUGUGUAUUGUAAUGACGACUUGUGAGUAUCUAAGGUUAUGGUUAGCUACUAUUUGGUGAAUAAAAUGGUCGUAGGAAAAGUUGUAGGAGGUUUUGAGACACCGCUUGAAUAGAAUUGAAAGAAACUAGAAUCAUAAAUGGAAAGAAUUAGUGGGAUGUAGCUUAGCUUUCAGAAAGAGCAGAGAAUAAGGAUAAUUACUUUGAUUGAAAGGGAAAAAUAUAUAUAUUAAGAAAGAGUGGAGAAUUGGAAUCAGAGACAAGUGGUUCCAUCUGUUUUGCUCUGGUCAUGGUAUUAGUGUUGCAUGUCAUCAGAUUGGUUAAAAAUUGUUUGGUAUGAUUUGAAAAAGAAGUCUAGAUACAUUUGAGUAGAGGGUGGUGAUAAAUGCUCUUAUGAUUUCAGUUUGGUUAUCUAGUAUAGUUUAAAUUUUAACGAUGAAUACAAUAAGAUCGAUGGAGAGACAAUCAAUGACGAGCUAAGAUAUGUGAAUUCAUAAAAAUCUUCAAGGUAUGAGCUAAUGUUGAUAUUUAAGAGGAUUGGGUUACACAAUUAGAUUUAGAAUUCAAGUUUUUCCUUGUAAGUGUACGUUUGUGGUAGUGUGUUUUGUCAAGUUAUGGAUUGGUAAGGUACGGAAUGACCGAUCGCAUUGGGUGUUGAGCAUUUUAAAGGACUUGUGCAUGGUUUGAAUCAUAAAGUUUGUUAUUUUUUUUAUUGUUAAAGGACUUAAGGAAGAGUUUCACUGAAAAGUUUUGGUUUAGAGUAUAAAGAGAAAUGUCAUGGGUUGUUGGUCAAAAGGAUAAGAUUGGUAAGCAAGUUAGCGAAGGGAACAAGAGUCUGAUAUGUUGAAGAGUUCAAGGCAGUUGAAUUUGGCAUCAUGGGAAGAAUUUAAGAAAGGUAAAGGAAUAAGACCUCUCCUAUAAACCCUUGGUUUGAUGUUGAAGGUCGUAUUGAUUUUUGCAUAUGAAUUUAGAUAUGAAUGUGAGAUGUGAACUAGUUCGGUACAAACUUACUAGCGGUUUAUCAUCGAACUUUUAUAAAGAUUGAGUUUUGGCCUAGGUGACAACAGUGAUGUAUGGAAGAUUUUAUGUAUUUAUGUGGGGGUUAGGUUGUUCAAAUUAUGGUAAUCGAAUUUGUCACGUCCCGAGCCUACACCCUAGGCGGGACUGACACUCAAGAACCAUUGUUGGCCCAAAUUGAACCCUUGGCCUGACUUACUUACUCAGCGAAAGACUCUAAGCAUUAUUACAAUGAUCAAAUGCACUUCUACUCAACUGUUUAAUAAAAUAACUUAGAACGUGUAAAGGUCAAACAUUCAACUUGGCCAAAAUGGCAACUCAAGUCUUUACAUAUGAAAUAAUAAUGUAAAGACAACUAAACUACUAAUUGUCUAUGAAGCCUCUAAAACAAGGAGGGAUGUCGGGACAAGACCCCCGAUCAUCCUAACAACUGAAAUACUAGGAAGCAAAGUAAAAGGAGUCCUCCGGAAGACUUUGAUUGCUCAACUGGAUCAACAGGGCCCUGGAUGCUGAUCCUGAUUUCCUGUGUCUGCAUCAUAAAACGAUGCAAGCCAAAUGGCAUCUCCAUGUGCUAGUAUGCGAGGGGAAUACUAAAUUAUAACGUAAGCUUGAAAAGAAUCUGAAAGGAACACUUACCUUGGCUUUACUCAACUCAUGAAUAACUUAACUCAAUAUAAAGCAAUAAUACACAUGCAAUAUAUAGAAAGCUUUUUCAAACAGUAGAAAGCAACUCAGUCUGUUAAUGAAAAUGUAAUAACAAUUCAACUUACUCAUAUAAUAAAGUAAUGCAAUAUUGUGAGAGUUUCUCUAACCGACAACCACCACUAUGAUCCUAAGUGAUGAUACAUUGUCUUUCACACACUACCAUAAUUGUCCUAUACUUUGCCAUCAUAUAGAACGCCUUAACUAAGUGGAUCCACUAGUCUAUGCUAAAAAUCACUUAAGGAAUCAUCUAAAAAGUAUGAUCCUUUACUACCCAUGAUGGCUACAUGGUUUAUUGAGACUUGAGUUAUUAUGAACUCGCACCCCCAUAUUAGUGCACAAUACUACUCCCAAAAUAUACUCAGCUCAUAUGUUUUUAAAACAAAACUUCUUUCUUUGGUUUGAGAUAAUUACUCAAAACUUAGCUUGAAAGCUCUCUAGGAAAUCAGUGUUUCCCUUCUUGCUCAAAUGUGAAAACAUUUUUAACUCUUGAAAAUACUUGUUCUCGUAUAAUCUUUGAAGAAAUGAACUUUACUCUUACUCUUUCCUCAACUCAAAGCUUAAGUCUUAAAACAAUGUUAAAACGUUUGUGAAAGACUUUUGAAAUACUUUAUGAACUUUUCUCUUGACUUGACUCUUAACUCUAGACUUGACAUUUAACUUUACUUAAAUUUGAAUUUAUGGAUUCAAGGAUUGUGAUUUGUGAUAGGAAGGAUCUCAUGAUGUUUAGGAGUGUUUUUAGAAAUCACUUCUUGGAAACUAGUCCGCGAUGCAGAGAUGUAUUUAAAUAUUUGGUCGUGAAAAUAAUUUUUGAGGCGGAACGGUCUGUGACCGCUCCGCAACGCGAGGAGAAUUUUUCUCAUCUUGAGGAACCUCGGACCUAGUACCCAGAUUAUCCUGACUUUUUCCUUAUUCAUUUUCCAGCCCCAAUUCACCUAAACUCGAUUCUUUUUCCCAAAUUCUCUUUAAAUUUAGAUAGCCAGCAAAUGUACCCAAGAACCUAACUCAAAACAACUCUAAAACUCGACGCGAUAACCUCAAGAAAUCCUCAAUUCAGCCCAAUUCAAGAACACAUAUCAAGAACAUCAACUUUCAACCCUUUUUAGAACGAAUUUCACUGAAAUAAACAUGAUUGGCACAUGGGUGAACGAACCCAACUCUAUGAAAGUCUCAUAUACCUCGUAGGGAUCACCGCUUGACGAAAUCCACAAGUGAUUCUUGAAGAACUUGACGAUUCUUGCUCCUUCUCCUCUUCUUUUCUCUUCUCUCAAAACCCUAACUUAGUUUUCAAAAGCGUUAACUGAACAAGUUCAUAUAAUGGUUGUUUAAAGUUGACCAAAAACACAAACUUAACAUAACUUAACAAAUUUCCAGAUUUUUCAUUCAUUCUCAAUUAGCGAGUUGUUACAAUUCUAACUCUUUCUAGUUCUUUCAAUUAGCGAGAUGUUACAGAAUUAUGUAUAAACAAAAGGAUGGGAUACGGUUCUACAUGAUUAUUAAAGAAUUGGAGUUAGAUUGAUACUACCUUAUUGAUGAGACUAUACAUGUAACACCCCAUAUCCGAAACAGACCAAAAAUGCAGAUUUUGAGAAGUUGCAGGUGUAACUUACGGUCACCAUCCACGGACCGUAGGUCAGACCAUGGCCCGUGCUAGUGGUCCGUGGUUCACCACUGCAACCCCUCCCCAAACCAGCUCAGAAAAUUUAGUAAGUCCCGACUCACGGACAGGCCCACGGUCCGUAGAUCAGACCACGGUCUGUGGUCUUUGUCCGUGGAUUGAGACCUCCUUUAACUAGCCUCUGACACAAAUUACGGUCGACCAGCACGGACCGUCAUUUGAUCCACGGUCCGUAGGUCUUACCGUAGAUGAGGGUCAGCAGCCAGUUAGCUGAAAAUUAUUGAUGGGUCAACUUCAGAUGGUCAUAAAUUUUAGCACAAAAUGAAUUAGGUGUCCCAUGACCUAUUAUAUGAUAGAUAAUUUAAUUAUCUUUCCAACUCCACCGAGUUUGCUAAAUUACGACCUCCGAGUAAAAAGUUAUGCUCGUUUUAGGGAAGGCCUGUCGAGCAGGCUUGACUUACGGACACAAUCUACGGACCGUAGAUUGACCUACGGCCCGUAGGUCCAAUCCGUAGGUCACUCCGACAGCAGUUAAUUCAGGGGUCUUUUGGUCUUUUCCUAUUUCGUUUAACCCCUAAGAUACGUCGUUUAAACCCUAAAUCAUGAGGUUUUAAUCAGUUUAAGCCUAGAAACAUAACUAGAACUUAUCCAAGUCAAAUCAUUAAUCAAAACUUAGAAAAUUAGAAGCUAGAGAGGAGAAAAAGGUCACUAGUUCAAGAACGCAGCAUGGUUCCAUCAGUUCUAGCUCCGAAAUCGAAAGAUUUCUCCGUGGAAUUCGUCACCAGGUAUGUGGGAUUUCACUAGUGGGUUCCUUUCGCCCAUUAGAUCCCUAGAAUUCAGUCAGAUUCUUGAUUCUCCAUAUCUUGUAUAUACCUAGGGUUUCUAAAACCUUGGAGAAUUGUUGUGAUUUAGUUGUUAUAGUACUCUUAAUCAAAUUAUCAUGUUUUCGUGAAAUCGUUUCUUAGUUCCUUGCAUGAAACUCAUAACCCUAAUUGUGUAGAUUCUCUUAGUUCAUGAAUCACACUUGCUAUGUCAGUUAAACAGAUAAACACGCUCCAGCUUCGAAUGUUACAUUGUCAGUUCCUAAAUGUUGCAUUCUCAGAUUUGCAUGUCAGAACGUUGAGCUAUCCAGUAUUUCAGUUAUAUUGUGUCUCACACAUUUCUAGUUGGGAGGAGACUUAGUACUGAGUGGACUAGGGUUCAACAUACCCUCAUAGUCUCAAAACUACGUGCCUUCGUAGGUUUAUAAGUCCCUCAUGUAGGCAUCAUAUUUAGUGAUCACGCCAGUCAUGCCUUUAUACCCUUGACAAGGUAUAUUGGGUCCUCUCGAUGGGGUGUAUACAUCGGACUCCACGUUCAGCAUUGGGAGUAGCAUAAUACCGAGUUGGACUAGGGUUUCAGCGUACCCAUAUAGUCCCAGAACUACGAGCCACGUAGGUGUAAGUCCCCUCUGUGGGAAACAUCAGCUUAGUGAUCACGCCAGCAUGCCUCUAUACCUCUGGCAGGGUAUAUUGGGUCCUCUCGAUGGGGCGUAUACAUCGGACUCCACAUUUAGCUCAUGUGGUUUUAUGUCGGGUAUUAGUAGCUCCCACCGUUCAGUCAGACUCUAUUGCAUUGACCAUAUUUCAGUACAGUCAGUAUUCAGCUAGACAUGUAAAAGAGAUAGGCAUUUAUACCAAAAUGAGUUUGCAUUCAAAUGGGUAUGAAUAUUUAAGUCUUGAUACAAGCUGAGAUUGAAGAAUCCAAAAGACCCAAGCCCAAAUUCUUGGAGUUGAAACCCUUUGAAUCUUCAAGUUCUUCAAAACCCUCACCAAACUUAGAACUCAAAAAUAAAAGCUAAAACUUUAUGAUAGAACUAUGUAAAAUUCAAUAUUAAAAAUCUGAUAUUAAACGAGUAUUUAUAGUUUUUAAAGAUUUGUGUUGCAGCGGAUCACUCGGCAAUAUUAGUCGGAAUCGCCAAUCAACUCGGCGAUUCUCCCUUUGGUGUAGUUCAUCGCCGUCGUGCGUUAGCCUUCAGCAUUGUCGUGUUUUGGAUCAUUAGUCGACCUAUUACUACUUCGCAAAACUGCUCGAUGACACGCCGACUGCUCCUUUUCACCGCCGACUUGAUCCUCUUAUUCAGGGCUCAACACACUGGAACAAAAGGCGAGGUGAGAUCAUUUGGUGACACGCCGAAUGGCUUUGGUGAUCCGCUGAUCUUCAUUUCUCCGUUCUUUCAACUUCUUUGUUCCAUUUUGCUCAAUUGUGUCCAUGCCUUUGUCUCCAAGUCUAAAUACCUGAAACUCAAGGUAUUUUAUUAGUUUUUGAGACAAAAUAUGCAAUUCAAGACACUAAACCUAUUAAAUCGUAGCCCUGAAUGAGUCCAAUUUGUGGACUCAUCAACACCCCCAACUUAAACUUUUGUUUGUCCUCAAGUAAAACUAAAGUUCAGCAAUUCAAAAAGGAUGUCUCAAAUAAUGUUACACAAGAUUCAAUCAUGAAUGCACACAACAAGAAUCAAUUUACUUAUGCAAAGCUCAAAUGUGCACUCAAAGAUUCAUGUUGUGACUCACCACUAUCAAAGAAUCUCGUGUUCACAAUACUUACUUCAAAUGCAAGUUCAAGCUCAACUAUAGUGUUCAAAUGCCCUCACAUAAAGAAUGAUUUCAUUUUCACACACAAUGAGUUAAUCACUUAAAUGUUCCGGAAUCAAAUGCAACGCUCACACUCAAAGAGAAGAACACAAUGCAUGCUUUCACCCAUAGUCUUGCCCGUAUUUUCCAAUCAGCGUUUGUUUCAGCUCACCCAAGAUCACUAAGGUCUUUCAAGGCUUGUAACGGGGUUUAGUGCAAAGGUAUGGUCAUUUAGGCUCAGUGACUUUUGUCCUCAUGAAAUGUGGUGCUCUAAACACUUCGUUUCCUUUCCCUACAUCAUUUUCAUUAGUGCAUCAUAAGUCAUCCUAUUAGUCACUUCCCAUGGAUUGUUUGAAACCCUAUUUCUUUGGUACUUUAUUCCACAACUAUCUUUUUCAUUCUUUUUCUUUUUCUUUUUCUUUUCUCUUUUAUAUAUAUAUAUAUAGAGGGUUUCCAUUUUUCUCAAAACCAUGGGUAAGAGAAGACUUUCCUUGUACUUCUUGACUUUCCCUUAUUUUUUUCACCACACCCCCAACUUAGGCUUUUGUCCUAAGUUGGCUAUUCAACUAAACCACAAUUUCAAGAGGAUUAUGGGUAAUAGAUAAAGAAAGGUUAUUGUUUUCAUCAUGUCUCCUUCAAAGAAAGGUAAGGCUCAAGGGGUGUUCAAACGAGGUUCACACACACUCACAAGGUAGGCCACAAAAGAGGUAUAUGUCAAAUUGGCUCACACUCUUAGAAGUUGCCUAAGAUCAUAUCAAGAGAUAGCAUCACUUAGUUGAUCGGACCAAUGGGGCAAAUUCUAGUAUCCAUCAUACAUAGUUCACAGGUGAGCUUAUCACACAAGGCAUCGACACUAAAGUCAAACAAGACUCCACACUUUCGCUAGUGUGCAACGGUCAUCACAAGAGAAUCGAUUCGACAAUAGGCUAGUCAAAACGAGAUGCAAAGAGUUCACAUAUUGUCUAUGCAACAUCAUUUGGCCUCAUCAUAGCCAUACAUUCAUGUUCGUUCGAUUGCAAGCACUAUUCAAGUCAUCGGUAUUGAUCGAAACUGAGAUUCAAAUUUGCCAAGGAAUAGCCAUAUUCUUAUGCAUAUAAGAGGUAGCGAAAAUUUGCUAAAUUUUUUUUUUGGAAGGGUCAAAAUCAUUUUUCAAUUAAAACAAAAGGGAGCCAUAAGUUCAAGCAUCCACAAAAAUGCAGUAUUAAGGCAAUUUUAAACAGAACAACCCAAAAUAUAUCGACAAAACAUGAGCACGAGUAGAACAUAAAAGUGGACCUCACCCCACCAUAAAUAAAAGCAUUUGUCCUCAAAUACAAAUGAAAGUAUCCAAAAGUAAAAAUAGAGAAAGAUAGAGAGGGCGGUAAAGAGGGAUCCUGUCUACGCAGUCGCUCCAUCUGUCGGGGCCUCAGUGCCCGGAGUGACCUUAGAAGGAAUAGCAGUGUCAGAUCCACUAGGGGCUGCUGUGGACGUCUCAGUCAGAGAUUUUUGGAUCACCAGCUGCAAAAUAGUCCCCACAAGAUCUGACAAAUCUCUAAAUAUGCUCUACUCUCGGCUCUCCAUCAUCUCCUCCUCAUGUACUGCUAUCAGCUCCUCGUCGAUCUCUGCAUCUGAAUCGUCAUAUGCUGUGCCACCCCUCUGUACAUCUCCUGUGGUAGCCGGAGGAAUCCCUGAGGUCUCAGGAGCAUCCUCGUCAUUUGCACCCCACAUCAAUGAGGUGAAGUCAGUAGACUUCAAAUAAUCUACGUCCUUCCUCAAAUCUGCCACUUCGGCUUUUACAGCCAAAAACUCGGAUGUCUCCCCCUGUCUGCUCUCACAAGCAGUGACUCUAGUAGCCAGAUCAUCAACAGAAACCCUAAGGGGGGUCAGUGCAGCCAAGAUAGCACUAUCGAUCAUCCCUGGAAUGGAUCUCUCUAACCGAGUCGCUCUCACAUCCGCUGAAUAGGCCAACUGUCCCAUCUUCAGGAUCAUGGCCUGAGUAAUCCUGGAAGGCUGGGAGGAGGAAGAAGCCCCUGGGACCUGUGAAGAAGAGGAAGGAGAGGAUGUACCAGAAGGCUCAGAGGCCGGAGUAGGCGAAAGUGCCUCUGAUGGUAAUGAGUCAACAUCAACUUUCGGGAAAAUAUCUGUCGGAGCUGCUCUCCUCAUAUCAACCUCAUCUCGUGUGAACUCGGCCUCAAUACGCCGGAUGUCAGUGGAGGAAUAUGGGGUGACCUCAAUAUCUCUCGUAGUGUCCCGAGGUAUUCCAGCACACUGGUACAACUCCAUGAUCAAGACUGGGAAUGGCAGAGAAGUCAGCUUUUGCUUGGCCCUCAUGGCCAUCUCUUGUGAAAUCAGCAGCCCCAGAUCGAUAUGCCUCCUUGACAUGAUAGAACCAAGGCAAUCUGACUUAGGAUGGCGCAAAAUGGACUCAUUUUGGGAUGGCAGGAUGGUGCAGCUGAUGAAAAUAAACCAGAACAUGGCAGCGAUGUACAAGUCCCUCUUCUCAAUAGGUGCCCCUGCAUCCAUCCACCUCGGGGUGUUGUCAGAAAUCAGAGGAUCCAGCCAACCCUUCAGGUUAUCUAGGAUUUAAACAAUAGCCAACCGUUCGUAGGGAAGUGCAGAGUGCAGCGGUCUACCCAAUACAGUGUUAAUAUACUCGCUGUGGCACUCAACUUCCUUACCUUUGACCAUGACCGACUUUACCGAUCUAAACUCGUUUGCCUUCUUCUUAUUCUUGGGCACCAACUCCCCAUAGGGAGUGUAAAAUUCCCUAACCCAAGAAGUAAUGUAAGGGCCUUGGGGCCUAAUGAACUGGUAAAUCUCAUGGUAUCGGAGGGUGUCAAUAACAUCGGGAUGUGUGCCUUCCAGGCCUUCCGUAGAUAAUAGCUUCUCCUCUAGGAUGGUCCGUAGCCCCUCACCUUUCAGUAUGGUCAGUAGUCUAGGAGGAGGAACGAUAGGGAGUGCAGGGGCCAGUAGAGGUUUCUGCGCUGGCACAGAGUCUAUUGACGGAGGAGUGGCAACUGAGGGAAUAUUGGUGGAUGUGGACUGAGAUCUAUCCCGGAGUUCAUCCUUUCGGUUUAUCAGAGACUGCUUAUCUUCUGGUUCGGAAAAAUUAGCCUAGGUUUUAAUAGCUAUUCCUUUUCUAGCUAUAUGCUUCUUCUUUUGGCCUUUAUCUCUGGGUGGGAGUUCUUCUUCUCUCAUCUUUAGAGGAUUUGACCCCCACCCCCGUUUAUGGUUAUGCCCUAUGCUUUCUUCUGAGGUUGCGUGGUUAGAUUUGUGCAUGUCAUAUCUGCAAGAAAAUGGGAAAAAUUAGGAUAAAAUUCAAACAUAAACACAGAAAAUCUAUUGCAGACAGGCUCGCCAAUCUAUUCGACGAGUCGCCGAACCUCUUUGGCAAGCUAAGUCGGGCUCGCCGAAGGGAUUGGCUUAAAAAUUAUAGCAAGUCGGCGAUGGAAGGGCCCUUUCGGCGAUCAUGGGUUUGUCGGCCGAAAGUUACAGUGCAACAGAGGUUCAGGGGAGAAUACAAAGGGUGAUCAAGAGUACUUUCGGCAAGUCGUCGAGUGCUUUAACUGACCAAAGUCUUCUCACCGAAAGUUACAGAGUCAAACAACACAUACAACAUGAUUUUAAAAGCGAGAUGGAGUCUUUAGGCGAACCGCGGAGUAGUUUGGCUAGCUCAACCCAGCUCGCCGAACGGCCCAACGUGCCCAUUUUCAAUCCACCUUCUCGAAUUCAACCCCGCAACCCCCGAUAACACAAUCAAAGCAUGCACUAAUGAAAUUCAAACAAGACGUAACGACCCGAGAGCACCCCCAAGUUGUAACAUGCGUACUCAACCUCUCGGAGGUCUAAUACAAGCCUCUUAGCAUUUAUUCAUCGCAUUCGGUAAUAAAAACUGUAAGGAAUUUAAACACUUUUUAAAACAAAUUCAUAAUACUCGUAAAAUCUUUCAAAUGUAACGAAGUAGAAUUUCUAAGUCUCAUUGUACCAUCUUUAGACACGAAUAGAACAUCUUUGGGGAACGGCCCUUUACAACAAAAUAUAAGUCUUAUACAAUCUCUAAGUGGAAAUACUAGAAAGGUAACAACUAUGUCCUCGAAUAUAUGAGGACAUACCAAACUUCUUGAGAAAUAGUCAAUAUCCCAAGCUUCCUCAAAAAAUCUCUUCACUUUCCACCACCUACACUUGUAACAAUAGAGAAAUAUGGAAUUAGUACAAUAAGUACUAAGUAUGACGACCAUGCAAGAAAACAUGCACAACGGACAUUUACAAGGAAUGUAUGCUUUUAAGACCUUUAACAAACCUUUACAACCACAAGCAUAAACCCACAUUUCAAGUCACCAUUCACAAAUAAGACCAUAUUCACAUCAUUUACAACUCAAUACUUAAAAAAGAUAGCAAAGUAAGUCCUUCAUUACCAUUUAAGCCUCUAUCUCAAGUCACCCUAAGCCACACUUAAGUGAAUAAUGAAGUGACCGCCCAUACAACCUCUUCAUAUACACCUAAGUGUUCCUAAGAAUUACCAUAAACAAGGGUUUUAUUGUUACAUUAUAACAUACUGAGUCAACAUUCUUUAUAAAACCAUUUAGGAGACACACAAGCAUAUAGGGGACAACCACAUAAUAGCCCUAAGGCUUAGGGAACUCACUUUAGUAUCUUCUAAGCCUACUCGUGCCAUGUGUAGAUAUCAUCCCAUACUACUACCUACACGUUGUAGAACCUAUCCAAUAUUAGAGUGCAUAUCCCAUAUGAUGGAAAUAGGCCUUAACCGACAUAGACCGUUCUAGCAAGGUAUGGAAUCCGGAGUCUAUCCUACUCCGUGGAGGUUGUUCUACUUGCCAAGGGUAGAACUAAAAGCAACCCAUGUUGGCACAUGGUUUAAGAGAUGUCCAAGGAUGUUCAUUGUGCCUAAUCUCAUGCUCAACUAGGUCACCAUCCUAACCACCUCUACUCGGUGCUUAGCCUUGGUUUGCAUAGAGUAUUCAAUCACAUCUGUACUAGAGAGGGUUCCUUUUCUAGUUCAACCAACUCAUAGAACCUCUUCCCAAGAAAGUCCCCAUUUCUUAGUCAUAGCCAAUCUAGGUUCAUAAGGAUAGCUCAUUUGACUUUCUUAGAUAAGGAUUUUCAUGCCGUUCCAGCUCCAUCCAUUUCUAAGUCUAUCAUUUCACUGAAGAAGGGAACAUCACCCUAAGGCCCAUCCUUCAAGGUUAUACAUUUACUUAGGAAAGCUAGACUCAUGAAAAGGCACAAUGCUUAAUUCCUACCAAUUCAAGUCUUGGCCUAAAAUUCCUCUUUUAGCAUUUAUAGGAAGAGCUCCAUUACUAAGUCAUAGCCCAACCAAACAUUCAUAUACUCAUAUACAUAAUCAAGCUUUCGUGACACAAGACAAGAUACUCAAGUCUAGCAUAUGAGCUAUAACAUCAUCUUAUAGAGACUCAUCAUAGUCUAUCAUCACCAGAUAUCACCAUUUCAAGAGAAACAUGCUUUCACAUUAGCAUAAUAACACUUUAUACAAUAUCACUUUAAUACCAUUAGAACAUCUUCACAUUAUAGCUUCACACAAACUUUACAUAUAGCUUCAUAUAGGACUUUACAUAUAGCCUAAUAUGUGCAUAAUAAUCCAACAAUGUAAUAAGAUUCACAUAAUACCCUUCGUGUCCUCAAUUCACAAUAAUACGAUAUUCCCACAUUAUACAACAACUUCACUAAUGCCUUCACGGCUACAAUUCACAAUAAUACCACACAAGAAUAAGAUAUAACACUUCCACCAAAGGUGGAUCCAACCUACCAACAACAAUCCAUUCAAUAAAGAGAGUUCAAGCCUUCUUACCAUAAUCCAAAGCCAUAGCCAAAAUCACCAAUACUUCACCCAUAAGGCUUACCACCCUUAAUUCAUCCAUUAUCAACAAUUAAUCAUAAAUAAACAUUAGACAACACAAGAUAUAUCAAUACCAUUCACUUUACACAUAAUUCCAUCAACUUUGAAUUUAUAGAAAUAGACCCACUUCAUAGCAAAUUUUAGGGUUUUGUAGAAGAAAAGGGUUCAUGGAGUAUUUCAUUCAAAAACCACAAACAAACAUCAAAUAAUCCAUACCCAAACGUUUCAAUUCAUUUUCAUGCAAGAACCCUUGAUAGAAUUCAAAAACAAGCUUUUAGUCACUUUUUGAAAACAUUGUAAAAUCCUUGGAAAUUGACUCUAGGAUGAAGAUGAGUCCUAGAUGAAGAGCCACCAUACCUCAAUUGAUGAAAUCUCCAUGAAAUUUGGUGGAAGGGAACCCUUAAUUGAAACCCUAGCUCUCCACCUUGUUCUUCCUUGAACUUGAGAAAACUUUAGAGAGAGAAAGAACUUUGGGGUUUUGAUUUUGGAAGAUUGAAUUCAAAAACACCUCUCAAAUGUUUUUAAUACCUUUUAAAAUACUUAAAAACACUUAAAAUAAUAAUAACCCAAAGUACCCAAACUACCUCACUUAGUUGGACCUUUUUAAACAAGUCCAACUUGAGUUUUAUUUUCGCAGAUUUCGUCGGAAAACAAGUUCGCGACGCGGAGGUUUUCCUACAAGUUCCUAAAAAUUAAUUUUUGAGAUAGUAGAGUCUGUGGUGUCUACGCGACAGGGAGACACUUUUUGGCCAUUGGUGGAGCUGGUUCGCGACGCAGAGCCAUUCCAUACAAGAACAACUUCAAGCUGCCUUAGCAGCUUGCUUAGCCAAGGGUUGGGGUCCUCCUUGGGGACCCUUAGGUUGGUCCCGGGGAGUUUUACCCGAACGUUUUGACCCUAAAAACAUUUAUUAAGACACUAGGGUCACAUCCACUGAUUUUAGAUUCCAUACUACCCAUAAAAACAUGAACAACAUACUUGAACACACCAACACAUAAAAGACUAGUUUCUGAACGUCUUGGUCGUCCCUUGACGUUUGACUACCAAACUCUUUAAAAUUGACUAAAAAGGCUAUUCUUCAUUAUUUGAACAAGUUAUUAAUGCAUAGGACCCAUGUGAGGCUCUACUUUAUCCUACUUCAUUUUGAGGGGUGUUACAAUAUCCCCCACUUGGGAACAUUCGUCCUCUAAUGACACUUCAAAACAUUAAGGGUAAUGACUCAAGACUAGCAGCCCACAACAAUCAUACAAUAUCAAUAUGAAAGAACUCAUCAAGGAGGAAACAUCAACUCCACAUAACAAGCCAUUGCAACACAACUUCAAUUCAAAUUUAUGGAAGUAAGAAUCACACCUACAACUCAACAUGCCUCAAAUCCUUUUUUUUUCCAUUUCUCAUUUACUUGGAGGAACUUCCUUCUCCAUAACACCUCAUGCUCAUAACAACAUCAAAGAACACAAUAUGCAGUUAUCUUAUUAAAACAUAGUCAUGCCACAUCAAGGAUACUCUUAAACAUUCUCAACUAAUCAACUCUAACAACUUUUAGCAACUCACCAAUUUGUGCAUAUAAGGAGAACAAUGAUCAUGAAACUGAUUUGCUCAUUUAAAUCAAGAACUCAAUUUAAAGCAUGCAACAUUAUAAGGAGAAUUAUAGAAACUCGUUUUUUUUUUAAAACAAGACUCCAAAAACCAUGCAUCAUGCUUCUACAAUUUUAUGACUCAAACUAGAUUAGGAAUAGAAGAAAGAGACAAGAAUAUCCAAACUCACCUUAACUCAUCAUUCAACAUACCAUCCCCCACUUAGGAGAAACCCAUCUAAACCAAUACAAAAGGAUUCCAACAACCAAAACUAGAAAUUAUGACUUACCGGCACCUUCAUUCGGAUUUUCUUCCGUGUUAGCUUGCAGAGCAUAGAAAUGAUUCCUUGCUUGACCAUCAACACUAGGACCACUAUAAGGAGCUUGCCUAGCAUUCCUUCCUUUAGCCACAAUAUUAGGACAAUCUCUUACCUUGUGAUUAUUUUUUCCAUAACCAUAGAAACCACUAGUGUCGGAUAGACACUUCCCGAAAUUCUUAUUUCCACAAGUGGAACAAGUAGGCUUAGCAAUUUGAGAACCACCACCUCCUUCAUGGUUAACCUUAGGAGCACUUGAUAAAUCUUGAUUUGGAGCCCUCUUCUUAAACCUAGGUUGUCCUUGAUCCUCAUACCUACCCCUUUUCAAAUCUUUCCUCACCCUAGUCAUCUUGGACUCCUCAAUAGAUUGAGCAUACACAACAAGCCUAGAGAUGUUCAUGUCACCAUGGAGCAUUGCCGUACGACACUCUUCUUUCACCAAGUCGGAUACACCGGUAACAAACCUACUCAAUUCCUCUCUAGAGUUACACACCAAAGAUGGAACAUACCUAGACAACAUAGAGAACUUCAAAGCAUACUCCUCCACACUCAUAUUACCUUGCCUAAGAUUAAUGAACUCCUUAAUUUUGCACUCCCUCUUCUCUAGGGGAAAGUACUUACCCAAUAAUGCUUCCUUAAACUCCUCCCAUUCUAUAGGACUCGCUUCCUCCGGCCUAUUUGCCUUCCAUUGAGUGUACCAAAUUUGGGCCACCUCCGUCAAUUGGUAUGAAGCCAAUUCCACUUUCUCUCUAGAAGUUACUCCCAUAGCAUCCACAAUUUUGUAAAUCUCAUCCAAGAAUCUUUGGGGAUCUUCUCCAAUUCUAGAGCCCAAAAAGAUAGAAGGAUUCAUCCUCACAAAGUCUCUCAACAUUGAGGCAGCCGUACUCUCAUUAGCAUUCACCCUAGGCCCCACAUCUCAAUUUGCUUGAGCCGUCAUGGCUUGAGCUAGAGUUAGAAAAGCCGCCCUAAUCUCUUCAUUAGUCAGGACCGGGGGAACCAUCGGAACCUCAUUCUCUUAAUUGCCUAUGGGGACUUGGUCACCUUGAAGACCUUGGGGAGGAACUCCCCACCACAUUCUCCUCUUCCGCUCUCCUAGGAUUAGCCCUCGUUUUCAUAUCCUAUAAACACAAGAGAAGGAUUAAGAAACAUACUUAUAGGCCAAACUCUAAGGCACGACGUCAAGAUUAAUGAAAUAAGUGAAACUUCUACCGUCCUAUAGCCUCUAGCUCAUAGAUGUGUCGCGACUCAUACCGAUGAACAAGACUCUACUAGACGUGGCAUAUAAGACUUUGAAUCCUACGGGACAAUUUCCAAAACCUUAUGCUCUGAUACUAACUUUGGAACGACCCGAGAGCACCCCCAAGUCGUAACAUGCGUACUCGACCUCUCGGUGGUCUAAUACAAGCCUCUUAGCAUUCAUUCAUCGCAUUCGGUAAUAAAAACCGUAAGGAAUAUAAACACUUUUUAAAACAAAUUCAUAAUACUCAUAAAAUCUUUCAAAUGUAACGAAGUAGAAUUUCUAAGUCUCAUGUACCAUCUUAGCCACGAAUAGAACAUCUUAGCUAGAGUUAGAAAAGCCGCCCUAAUCUCUUCAUUAGUCAUGGCCGGGGGAACCACUGGAACCUCAUUAUCUUGAUUGCCUAUGGGGACUUGGUCACCUUGAAGACGUUGGGGAGGAACUCCCCCAUCCACAUUCUCCUCUUCUGCUCUCCAAGGAUUAGCCCUCGUAUUCAUAGCCUAUAAACACAAGAGACGGAUUAGGAAAGAUACUCAUAGACAAAAACUCUAAGGCACGACGUAAAGAUUAAUGAAAGAAGUGAAACUUCUACCGUCCUAUAGCCUCUCGCUCAUAGAUGAGUCGCGACUCACACCGAUGAACAAGACUCUACUAAACGUGGCAUAUGAGACUUUGAAUCCUAAGGGACAAUUUCCAAAACAUUAUGCCCUGCUACCAAGUUUGUAACGACCCGAGAGCACCCCCAAGUCGUAACAUGCGUACUCGACCUCUCGGAGGUCUAAUACAAGCCUCUUAGCAUUCAUUCAUCGCAUUCGGUGAUAAAAACCGUAAGGAAUUUAAACACUUUUUAAAACAAAUUCAUAAUACUCAUAAAAUCUUUCAAAUGUAAAGAAGUAGAAUUUCUAAGUCUCAAGUACCAUCUUAGACACGAAUAUAACAUCUUAGGGACACGACCCCUUUACAUUACAACAAAAUAUAAGUCUUAUACAAUGUCUAAGUUAAAAUACUAGAAAGGUAAGAACAAUGUCCUCAAAUACAUGAGGAUAUACCAAGCUUCUUGAGAAGAGCCAAUAUCCCAAACAUCCUAAAAAGAUCUCUUCACUUUCCACCACCUACACUUGUAACAAUAGAGAAAUAUGGAAUUAGUACAAUAAGUACUAAGUAUGAUGACCUUACAAGAAAAAAUGCACAACGGACAUUUACAAGGAAUUUAUUCUUUUAAGACCUUCUUUAACAAACCUUUACAACCACAAACAUAAACCCACAUUUCAAGUCACCAUUCACAAAUAAGACCAUAUUCACAUCAUUUACAACUCAACCAACACAAGUGUACAAUACUUAAACAAGAUAGAAAAGUAAGUCCUUCAUUACCAUUUAAGCCUCUAUCUCAAGUAACCCUAAGCCACACUUAAGUGAAUAAUGAAGUGACCGCCCAUACAACCUCUUCAUAUACACCUAAGUGUUCCUAAGGGUUACCAUAGACAAGGGUUUUAUCAUGACCUUAUAACAUACUAAGUCAACAUUCUUUAUAAAACCAUUUAGGAGACACACAAGCAUAUAGGGGACAAUCACAUAAUAGCCCUAUGGCUUAGGGAACUCACUUUAGUAUCUUCUAAGCCUACUUGUGCCAUGUGUAUAUAGCAUCACAUAAUACUACCUACACGUUGUAGAACCUAUUUAAUAUUAGAUUGCACAUCCCAUAUGAUGGAAAUAGGCCUUAACCGACAUAGACCAUACUAGCAAGGUAUGGAAUCCGGAGUAUAUCCUACUCCGUGGAGGUUGUUCUACUUGCCAAGGGUAGAACUAAAAGCAACCCAUAUUGGCACAUGGUUUAAGAGAUGUCCAAGCAUCUUCAUUGUGCCUAAUUCUAUACUCAACUAGGCCACCAUCCUAACCACAUUUACUCAAAGCUUAGCCUUAGUUUCCAUAGAGUAUUCAAUCACAUUUGUACUAGAGAGGGUUCCUUUUCUAGUUCAACCAACUCAUAGUACCACUUCCCAAGAAAGGCCCCAUUUCUUAGUCAUAGCCAAUCUAGGUUCAUAAGGAUAACUCAUUUGACUUUCUUAGUAUAAGGAUUUUCAUGCCGUUCCAGCUCCAUCCAUCUCUAAGUCUAUCAUUUCACUUAAUAAGGGAACAUCACCCUAAGGCCCAUCCUUCAAGGUUAUACAUUUACUUAGGAAAGCUAGACUCAUGAAAAGGCACUAUGCUUAAGUCCUACCAAUUCAAGUCUUGUCCUAGAAUUCCUCUUUUAGCAUUGAUAGGAAGAGCUCCAUUACUAAGUUAUAGCCCAACCAAACAUUCAUAUAUUUAUAUACAUUAUCAAGCUUUCAUGACACAAGACAAGAUACUCAAGUCUAGCAUAUGAGCUACAACAUCAUCUUAUAGAGACUCAUCAUAGUCCAUCAUUACCACAUAUCACCGUUUCAAGAGAAAGAUGCUUUCACAUUAGCAUAAUACCACUGUAUACAAUAUCACAUUAAUACCAUCUGAACAUCUUCACAUUAUAGAUUCACACAAACUUUACAUAUAGCUUCAUUUAGGACUUUACAUAUAGCCUCAUAUGUGUAUAUUAAUACAACAAUGUAAAUAACACUCAUAUAAUGCCCUUCGUGGCCUCAAUUCACAAUAAUGGGAUAUUCCCACAUUAUACAACAACUUCACCAAUGCCUUCACGGCUACAAUUCACAAUAAUACCACACAAGAAUAAGAUAUAACACUUCCACCAAAGGUGGAUACAACCUACCAACAACAAUCAAUUCAAUAAAAAGAGCUUAAGCCUUCUUACCAUAAUCCAAAGACAUAGCCAAAAUCACCAAUACUUCACCCGUAAGGCUUACCGCCCUUAAUUCAUCCAUUAUCAAAUAUUAAUCAUAAAUAAACAUUAAACAACACAAGAGAUAUCAAUACCAUUCACUUUACACAUAAUUCCAUCAACUUUGAAUUUAUAGAAAUAGACCAGCUUCAUAGCAAAUUUUAGGGUUUUGUAGAAGACAAGGGUUCAUGAUGUAUUUCAUUCAAAACCACAAACAAACAUCAAUUAAUCCAUACCCAAAUGUUUCAAUUCAUUUUCAUGCAAGAACCCUUGAUAGAAUUCAAAAACAAGUUUUUGUCACUUGUUGAAAACAUUGUAAAAUCCUUCGAAAUUGACUCUAGGAUUAAGAUGAGUCCUAGAUGAAGAGCCACCAUACCUCAAUUGAUGAAAUAUCCACGAAAUUUGGUAGAAGGGAACCCUCAAUUGAAACCUUAGCUCUCCACUUUCUUCUUCCUUUAACUUAAGAAAACUUUAGAGAGAGAAAGAACUUUAAGGUUUUGAUUUUUGAAGAAUGAAUUCAAAAACACCUCUUAAAUGUUUUAAUACCUUUAAAAUAGUUUAAAACACUUAAAAUUAUAAUAACCCAAAGUACCCAAACUACCUCUCAGUUAGUUGGACCUUUUUAAACAAGUCCAACUUGAGUUUUCAUUUCACAGAUUUAGUCGGGAAACAAGUUCGCGACGUGGAGCUGGUCCCACAAGUUCCUAAAUAUUAAAUUUCAAGACAGUAGAGUCUGUGGUGUCUCCGCGAUGCGGAGCCACUAUUUGGCCAUUGGUGGAGCAGGUCCGCGACGCGGAGCCACUCCCUCCAAGAACAACUUCAAGUUGCCUUGGCAACUUGCUUGGCCAAGGAUUGGGGUCCUCCUUGGGGACCUUUAGGGUGGUCCCGGGGAGUCGUACCCGAACAUUUUGACCCUAAAAACAUUUAUUAAUACACUAGGGUCACCUCCACAGAUUUUAGACUCCAUACAACCGAUAAAAACAUGAACAACAAACUAGAACACAACAACACGUAAAAGACUUGUUUCCGAACGUCUUGGUCGUCCCUUGACGUUUAACUUCCAAACUCUUUAAAACUUACUAAAAAGGAUAUUCUUCAUUAUUUUAACAAGUUAUUAAUGCAUAGGAACUAUGUGAGGCUCUACUUUAUCUUACUUCAUUUUGAGGGGUGUUACAAUAUCCCCCACUUGGGAACAUUCGUCCUCGAAUGACACUUCAAAACAUUAAGGGUAAUGACUCAAGACUAGCAACCCACAACAGUCAUACAAUAUCAAUAUGAAAGCACUCAUCAAGGAGGAAACAUCAAUUCCACAUAACAAGCCAUUACAACACAUAUUCAUUCAAAUUUAUGGAAGUAAGAAUCACACCUACAACUCAACAUGCCUCAAACCCUUUUUUUUCCAUUUCUUAUUAUUUGAAGGAACUUCCUUCUGCAUAGCACCUCAUGCUCAUAACAACAUCAAAGAACACAAUAUGCAAUUAUGUUAUUAAAACACAGUCAUGCCACAUCAAGGAUAUACUUAAGCAUGCUCAACUAAUCAACUCUAACAACUUUUAGCAACUCACCAAUUUGUGCAUAUAAGGAGAACAACGAUCAUGAAACUGAUUUUCUCAUUUAAAUCAAGAACUCAAUUUAAAGAAUGCAUCAUUUUAAGGAGAAUUCUAGAAACACAUUUUGCAUGCAUCAUUAUAAGGAAAAAUAUAGAAACUCAUUUAUUUUCACACAAGACUCCAAAACACAUGCAUCAUGCUUCUACAAUUCUAUGACUCAAACUCGAUUAGGAAUAGAAGAAAGAGACAAGAAUAUCCAAACUCACCUCAACUCAUUAUUCAACAUACCAUCCCCCACUUAGGAGAAACCCAUCUAAGCCAACACAAAAGGAUUCCCACACAAAACUAGAAAUUAUGACUUACCGGCACCUUUAGCCAGAUUUGCUUCCUUGUUAGCUUGGAGAGCAUAGAAACGAUUCCUUCCUUGACCAUCAACACUUGGACCACUAUAAGGAGCUUGCCUAGCAUUUCUUCCUUUAGCCACAAUUUUAGGACAAUCUCUUACCUUGUGAUCAUAUUUUCCACAACCAUAGCAACCACUAGUGCCGGAUAGACACUCCCCAAAAUGCUUCUUUCCACAAGUGAAACAAGUAGGCUUAGCAAUUAGAGAACCACUACCUCCUUCAUGGUUAACCUUCGGAACCACCACCUCCUUCAUGGUUAAACUUAGGAGCACUUGAGAAAUCUUGAUUUGGAGACCUUUUCUUAAACCUAGGUUGUCCUUGAUCUCAUACCUACCCCUUUUCAAGUCUUUCCUCACCCUAGUCAUCUUGGACUCCUUAAUAGAUUGAGCAUACACAACAAGCCUAGAGAUGUCCAUGUCAUCAUGGAGCAUUGCUUAUCCUAUAAAGACAAGAGACUCAUUAGGAAAGAUACUUAUAGACCAAACUCUAAGGCACGAUGAUAAUAUUAAUGAAAUAAGUGAAACUUGUACCGUUCUAUAGCCUCUCGCUCAUAGAUGUGUCGCGACUCUCACCGUUGAACAAGACUCUACUAGACGUGGCAUAUGAGAAUUUGAAUCCUAAGGGACAAUUUCCAAAUCCUUAUGAUCUGAUACAAAAGUUUGUAACGACUCGAGAGCACCCCCUAGUCAUAACAUGCGUACUCGACUGCUUCUUUAAACUCCUCCCAUUCUAUAGGACCCACUUCAUCCGGCUGGUCUAAUACAAGUCUCUUAGCAUUCAUUCAUCGCAUUCGGUAAUAUAAACCGUAAGGAAUUUAAACACCUUUUAAAACAAAUUCAUAAUACUCAUAAAAUCUUUCAAAUGUAACGAAGUAGAAUUUCUAAGUCUCAUGUACCAUCUUAGACACGAAUAGAACAUCUUAGGGGCACGGCCUUUUGCAACAAAAUAUAAGUCUUAUACAAUGUUUAAGUUGAAAUACUAGAAAGCUAACAACUAUGUCCUCGAAUAUAUGAGGACAUACCAAGCUUCUUGAGAAGAGCCAAUAUCCCAAGCUUCCUCAAAAGAUCUUUUCACUUUCCACCACCUACACUUGUAACAUUAGAGAAAUAAGGAAUUAGUACAAUAAGUACUAAGUAUGAUGACCUUACAAGAAAAAAUGCACAACGGACAUUUACAAGGAAUGUAUUCUUUUAAGACCUUCUUUAACAAACCUUUACAACCACAAACAUAAACCCACAUUUCAAGUCACCAUUCACAAAUAAGACCAUAUUCACAUCAUUUACAACUCAAUUAACACAACUGUACAAUACUUAAACAAGAUAGAAAAGUAAAUCCUUCAUUACCUUUUAAGCCUCUAUCUCAAGUAACCCUAAGCCACACUUAAGUGAACAAUGAAGUGACCGCCCAUACAACCUCUUCAUAUACACCUAAGUGUUCCUAAGAAUUACCAUAGACAAGGGUUUUAUCAUUACCUUAUAACAUACUAAGUCAACAUUCUUUAUAAAACCAUUUAGGAGACACACAAGCAUAUAGGGGACAAUCACAUAAUAGCCCUAUGGCUUAGGGAACUCACUUUAGUAUCUUCUAAGCCUACUCGUGCCAUGUGUACAUAUCAUCCCAUACUACUACCUACACGUUGUAGAACCUAUCCAAUAUUAGAGUGCACAUCCCAUAUGAUGGAAAUAGGCCUUAACCGACAUAGACCAUACUAGCAAGGUAUGGAAUCCGGAGUCUAUCCUACUCCGUGGAAGUUGUUCUACUUGCCAAGGGUAGAACUAAAAGCAACCCAUAUUGUCACAUGGUUUAAGAGAUGUCCAAGCAUGUUCAUUGUGCCUAAUCCCAUACUCAACUAGGCCACCAUCCUAACCACAUCUACUCGGUGCUUAGCCUUGGUUUCCAUAGAGUAUUCAAUCACAUCUGUACUAGAGAGGGUUCAUUUUCUAGUUCAACCAACUCAUAGUACCUCUUCCUAAGAAAGGCCCCAUUUCUUAGUCAUAGCCAAUCUAAGUUCGUAAGGAUACCUCAUUUGACUUUCUUAGGUAAGGAUUUUCGUGUCGUUCCGGCUCCAUCCAUCUCUAAGUCUAUCAUUUCACUGAAGAAGGGAACAUCACCCUAAGGCCCAUCCUUCAAGGUUAUACAUUUACUUAGGAAAGCUAGACUCAUGAAAAGGCACUAUGCUUAAGUCCUACCAAUUCAAGUCUUGGCCCAAAAUUCCUCUUUUAGCAUUUAUAGGAAGAGCUCCAUUACUAAGUCAUAGCCCAACCAAACAUUCAUACACUCAUAUACAUAGUCAAGAUUUCAUGACACAAGACAAGAUACUCAAGUCUAGCAUAUGAGCUACAACAUUACCUUAUAGAGACUCGUCAUAGUCCAUCAUCACUACAUAUCACCAUUUCAAGAGAAACAUGCUUUCACAAUAAUACCAUUAGAACAUCUUCACAUUAUAGCUUCACAAAAACUUUACAUAUAGCUUCAUAUAGGACUUUACAUAUAGCCUCAUAUGUGUAUAAUAAUACAACAAUGUAAUAACACUCAUAUAAUGCCAUUCGUGGCCUCAAUUCACAAUAAUGCGAUAUAUGUGUAUAAUAAUACAACAAUGUAAUAACACUCAUAUAAUGUCCUUCGUGGCCUCAAUUCACAACAAUGCAAUAUUCCCACAUUAUACAACCACUUCACCAAUGCCUUCAUGGCUACAAUUCAAAAUAAUACCACACAAGCAUAAGAUAUAACACUUCCACCAAAGGUGGAACCAACCUACCAACAACAAUCCAUUCAAUAAAGAGAGUUCAUGCCUUCUUACCAUAAUCCAAAGCCAUAGCCAAAAUCACCAAUACUUCACCCAUAAGGCUUACCACCCUUAAUUCAUCCUUUAUCAACAAUUAAUCAUAAUUAAACAUUAAACAACACAAGAUAUAUUAAUACCAUUCACUUUACACAUAAUUUCAUCAACUUUGAAUUUAUAGAAAUAGAUCCACUUCAUAGCAAAUUUUAGGAUUUUGUAGAAGGCAAGGGUUCAUGGAGUAUUUCGUUCAAAAACCACAAAAAAACAUCAAUUAAUCCAUACCUAAAUUUUUCAAUUCAUUUUCAUGCAAGAAUCCUUGAUAGAAUUCAAAAACAAGCUUUUAGUCACUUUUUGAAAACAUUGUAAAAUACUUUGAAAUUGACUCUAGGAUGAAGAUGAGUCCUAGAUGAAGAGCCACCAUACCUCAAUUGAUGAAAUCUCCACGAAAUUUGGUGGAAGGGAACCCUCAAUGGAAACCCUAGAUCUCCACCUUGUUCUUCCUUGAACUUGAGAGAACUUUAGAGAGAGAAAGAACUUUGGGGUUUUGAUUUUGGAAGAAUGAAUUCCAAAACACCUCUUAAAUGUUUUAAUACCUUUAAAAUACUUAAAAAUACUUAAAAUAAUAAUAACCCAAAGUACCCAAACUACCUCUCACUUAGUUGGACCUUUUUAGACAAGUCCAACUUGAAUUUUAUUUUCGCAGAUUUCGUCGGGAAACAAGUUCGCGACGCGGAGGUGUUCCCUCAAGUUCCUAAAAAUUAAAUUUCGAGGCAGUAGAGUUGGCGGUGUCUCCGUGACACGGUACCACUUUUUGGCCAUUGGUGGAGAAGGUCCGCGACUCAGAGCCACUCCCUCCAAGAAUAACUUCAAGCUGCCUUGGCAGCUUGCUUGGCCAAGGGUUGGGGUCCUCCUUGGGGACCCUUAGGGUGGUCCCGGGGAGUGGUACCCGAACGUUUUGACCCUGAAAAAAAUUUAUUAAGACACUAGGGUCACCUCCACUGAUUUUAGACUCCAUACAACCCACAAAAACAUUAACAACAUACUAGAACACACCAACACGUAAAAGACUAGUUUCUGAACGUGUUGGUCGUCCCUUGACGUUUCACUUCCAAACUCUUUAAAACUGACUAAAAAGGCUAUUCUUCAAUAUUUUAACAAGUUAUUAAUGCAUAGGAAUCAUGUGAGGCUCUACUUUAUCCUACUUCAUUUUGAGGGGUGUUACACAAGACCCAUAAUACUCAUCACCCCGGGAUACUCAGAUUUUUCCCGGUUUUGCCAAAUUUAGCCAUUUGACGAUAUUUGCUCUUAAGAGUGUUGUCACCCACUCUAUCAUUGAGAAAUCUUUGUCAUUUAGCACAAACAUGGGUUACCCGAACUUCACCCAAUCAAUCUAAAUGACACGCAAGCACAACUCAAUGCAAAUUCAUUUAUUUAAAAGCACCAAAAUUACGGGUAUUUGACGAUCAAAAUACUAAGGGAAAUAUUUGCAAAUUGAAAUACGCAUUUAAGAAUUCUAGUUCUAUCAGAAAUGCCAAGAACACAACAAUAUGAUACAGCUAUUGCAAAUGAGUACAAAAUUUUCGAAUGUAAACUCGGGAUUCGGAAACCAACCUUAAAUACCGAUUAAAAUGCGAUUGAAAAUCUAGGUGGCAAAGAAAUCCUAGUUCUGAGCACCACUCAACAACUAAAGUACUAAUGGAAUAUAAAAUUUUUGAAAAUACUCCAUUGGUGUGAGUUUGUGAAAUUUAAAAAUGAGGGAAAGUGAAGAAGUUCAAAUUCUGAGACCUUUGGAAAUUAUAAGGCGUCCAGUUGGCGUCCAUACGGCGACAUUAGUCGCACUCGCUGAUCCACUCGGUGAUACGCCGAGUGGUCACUUACCCCGCCAUUUCCGAUAGGAUCAUUAGUUUCUUGGGGGUCAAUAUGGCGGUCUGAAUCGAGGUCGCCGAACAGGUUGGCGACACGCCGCUCUGCUUUUUGAGCUUGCCAAAUUCUACAGGAUCUUAAUUAUAUUUGAGUUGAGCCAAACGGCGGGUCAAGUCCGGCAUGCCGAUCAUUUUGGCGAUUCGCCGACAUACCGUUUUACUAGCCAAUAGGCAUUUUCCAAAUACUUUCAACAUUUAAACCUGCACCACUAACACACCAUUAUUUAUAAAUGCAAACAAAAGCAUCUAAAACCUUGGGUUGCCUCCCAAGAAGAGCCUUAAUUAACGUCGUGGCACGAUGCAAGUCCUUAUUUACUCUCCAUUGGUGGGGUUGGUCCUAGUGUUACUAGGGAACCCCUAUAGUUCAUUUGAGUGAAGAGGAGGCACUGCAUAACUCAUGAGUUUCCUGAUCAGCUGGAUCGAUCUAGAAUGGGAGCCAAUCAUUUGAUUCAACACUUCAAUAUUCUCCUUCAUCUGUUCUUGUAUUUGAUCUUAUUCGAUGAUCUUUUGGAGAAUGAGUUGGAGUGUUUCCUCGACACGAUUGUUCUCCCUGUCUCCAGACUAUUUCCGCUCAUGAGGGGGUAUGUACCUCCCUUAUCUCUUACACUGGUUUUCCACCUGUGAUAUUUUGGUAGCUAAAUCAUUCAGCUGAGUUACCAGUGCGGUUAACUUGAAUUCCCUCUCGACUUCUUGACUCGUCGCAGCUAACUUGACACCACUUUUCUCAGGCAAUCUCAGGGUGUCUGCAUGCAACCAACAACUCAAAAGAAAAGAAAACUAAAAGUAAACUACAAUUAAGGAGAACAACAAUUCUAUUAAACGAAGAAUUCUCAAAUAAUACCAGUCCCAGGCAGCGGCGCCAUUUUGAUGUCUGCGUAAUCAAGACACAACUUCCAAUGCAAGUGUCUACGAUCGUACAAUAAUAAAGUAACCCAACCAAGGGGUUGGGGUCGAGUCCCAAGGGAGUGGGCUUCAGAAUUAAUAGAAAAAUAAAAUUAAGUUCCAAUUAGUCAUAGUUAAAAAUAUUAUCGAAUGUAAACAUGUUAAAUCUAAGGGGUGACGCAAGCGUCAAUUAACAAAUGGGGGUUUGUCACAAGUAAGCAACAAAUACAAAAAGUAUUAAUCAAGGAGAUGGGAUUCUUGGGAUGUGAUAGGAAUACGGGAUAAACUAAACUAUUGGGUACAUGUUUUGAUAGUAAAUCCAUUGAAUAUUUGUUGCUAGGCUAGACUAUAGUAGGGGUAAAUUCUCUCUUGAGAAUUUACCCCGAAUCAAAUGGGUUCCUCUUGGACACCCACUUUUCGCAUGAAGAACAGCCUCCGCCUUAGCCCACUCACUUUCUCGAGGUGAGUGUGUGGGAGAAUGACUAGGGUUCAUUCUCUCGAGUUGAACCUCAUGUCAACCCAAUUCCAGCGGCCAUCAAUUUAGUAGUCUUAGUUUUACGACCUCUCUCUCAAGCAAGCCUAAAACACAAAGGUGAAAUAGUAUUUGCAACUACAACUUCAUUAAGUUCCACCACAACUACUAAACGAAAUCACAUUUACUCAACAAAUAAACCAUCAACAAGCAAGACCCAAUAGAUAAUCUUACCCAUAUUCACAAAAUCACACCCCAAGAAUUGGGGUUUUAGCUAGACAUGUGAAAGAGAUAGGAAUUUAUACCCAAAUGAGUUUGCAUUCAAAUGGGUAUGAAGAUUUAAGUCUUGAUACGAGCUAAGAUUGAAGAAUCCAAAAGACCCAAUCCCAAAUUCUUGGAGUUGAAACCCUUUGAAUCUUCAAGUUUUUCAAAACCUUCUCCAAACUUAGAACUCAAAAAAUAAAAGUUAAAAAUUUAUGAUAGAACUAUGUAAAAUAUGAUAUUAAAAAUCUGAUACUAAACGAGUAUUUAUAGUUUUUAAAGAUUUGUGCUGCAGCGGAUCACUUGGAGACAUUAGUCGGAAUCACCGAUCAACUCGGCGGUUCUCCCUUUGGUGUAGUUCAUAGCCAUCUUGCGUUAGCCUUCAGUAUCGUCGUGUUUUGGAUCAUUAGGCGACCUAGUACCGCUUCACGGAACAGCUCGGCGACACUCCGACUGCUCAUUUUCACCGCCGACUUGAUCCUUUCAUUCAGGGCUCAACACACUGAAACAAAAGGCGAGGUGAGAUCAUAUGGCGACACGCCGAAUGGCUUCGGCGAUCCGCAUAUCUUCAUUUAUCCGUUCUUUCAGCUUCCUUUGUUCCUUUUUGCUCAAUUGUUUCCAUUCCUUUUCCUCCAAGUCUAAAUACCUGAAAUUCACGGUAUUUUAUCACUUUUUUAGACAAAAUUUGCAUUUGAGGACACUAAACCUAUUAAAUUGUACCCCUAAAUGAGUCCAAUUUGUGGACUCAUCAAUGAGCUUAUAAUAUAUAGAAUUAUUUUGAGUGACCAAGGAUUUCUCUGAGUUAUAGAAUGAGUAUUGUGACGUUUUGGAAUAGUAGUUGAAAUAUUGUAUGUGAAAGUUUGUGCGAAGUUGACUUUGGAUGUGAUUCAAUUAUUGCACUUCGAUGGAAAUGUAUUUAUAUUUAAAAUUAGUGCUAGCAGUCUUAGGUGUGACUCAUAAUUGUCAUGAAAUGCUUAAAUGGAAAGAGACGGAGCCAUAUUUUGAAAUUUUUAGAGGCUACAAUGUGUUUGCUAAGAAGACUUUUAUACUAGUGAUAGUUUGAGAGGAAGGCAAAUGGCUGGUGUAGUUAUGGUGUUUGUUGGUAUUGAGAGUGUUAGCUUCAAUGGAGUACUGUGAGAAGUAUGUAGGGUUUGAUGAAUCUAGUAUUUGUAACAUUAUAAUGGAGAUCAGACUCGUUGAUUAUGGGUGGCUAAAAAUUGAGAGAUGGAGUCAGAUGAAUGAAAUUUUAUUUAUAUGGGCACUAUGGAAGGAGUAUAUGGUGUUAUACGAACUUUGUUUCAUAUAUUUUAUGUGACUAUCUUCUUCGUUCUGGACAUUAUUUGAAUUAUGAUUCAAUACUUAUGAGAAUUUAUAGAAGAGCUGCCAUGAGUAUUUACAAUUGUUCACCAAUAUUAAUAUUCAUCUAGUCGUUGAGGUCACGUUUCAGUUAUGUGUGGUUGAAUAUGGGGACCAUUGGGUCUAGUUCUACCAUUCUUAAGGGUUGUCUAUAAUCACAACUAUUGAUCUAGCAUUCUGACAAUGUUGUUAAAGGUUUUAUAUGUUUGAGUGAAUCGCUUGUUGGGUGGUUAUUUGAUCAUUUCCUUCAUUGAGUUAGAUAAGUUUUAUACUCCCUUGAUAAGUAUCCAAUAUCUAAAGAUUAGAUUUUUAUAACUUAAGCUCGUGAAAAGAUCGUAUUGUGAAAAGGAAAUCUUGAUAAGAUCAGUGAUGGUUUGUGUAUUAUGAGUGUGUGGUGGUUGGUUAAAUUUCACUUCUGGCUCUAGCCGGUAUCGAUUCAAAAUGUUAUCUUGGUUAUUUAGAAAGGAGUCAUCAUGAUGGUUGUGUUAUGGUUCAAUAGGUUUCAGUUUAGAUUUGGUUCAUGGGUUAGCUUGUGAGUUGAUAAUCACUCUUGAUUUGUAAUGUUCCAAAGUUUGAUUUGAAAGUUCAGUUCUUGGUAAUUGGUCUUGAUGGAAUAGUCUUAAGGAGGAGCUCACUUGAAAAUAUGAACACUGACUAGUAGGUCAUAACUCAAGUUUUUGGUAACGUCGGUUGUUCCUUCUUCUUCUUCUCUAUGUUCGAGCACGAACAUGGUUUUUAGUGGUGGAUAAUGUAAUGACCCGUUAGGCCAUUUUGAGAACUACUCAUCUUUUUAAUGGGAAUUUAGAAUUACUCAUUUAACUAUGGUUAUUUAAUUAGCGGGUAAACUUUUAAUAUUUAAUUUUAGUAAUUAGUUAAUGGGUAAAGUCCAUAAUUUAUUUAAUACACUAUACUACUUGACCAAUGUGUUAAAGUAAGUUAGUAGGGUUUAAUAAUUUUAGACUACACAUUUUAAGAGGAAAAAGGAACAUGGAAAACAAGACCGGCGACAAUCACUUCGGCAAAUUCCAAACUUACCGACCAAAUUGCACCAGGUAAACCAAACCUAAUUUUGUAUUAUGUAUUUGAAUGAAUAGUCUAGUAUUAUUAUUAUAAUAAUAACGUUGGCUUUGAAAGAAAAAGAAGAGAAAUUGGAUUUGAAUAACCUAUGCUAACGUUUCUUGGUGGAAAAUUUUUAAUAGCUAUUAAUUGCAUGAUGAUUGAGCAAUGAUUGACCUUUUUAACAUUAAUAAUUAGGAAUUAAAAAUUUAUAUGUAGGAAUUGGGAAUGGGAUAUGCAGUAGUGUCACUGUUAGUUGAUUGAGUUAUGCGGUCAAUAUGUUUUCGUAACUAAUCGAUUGUAAUUUUAUUUUUUAUUAUCGUAUUAUUAAUCAAAUUUUAAUAUAUUGGUAUAUGUAAUUAAAUAUUAGUUGUAGGGUAUUAUGUGAAUACCAUUAGAUUUAUGAUAUUGGAUAAAUUGGGAUUUAAUCUUAACCUUGAAACUUAAGAACUUGAUUAUAGAUUUUGGUGAGUUUUUGGCUCUAGUCUAAACCUAUGGUAAUAUGGGUAUUGUUAUUUUUGAAAUCUUAUUAUAAUUAUGUAAUUGAAUAGAGUGCAUUAAUUUGGAAGCCAAUGAAAAGGGAAGGCUCAAGUCCCGGAGUGAACGGUUAAUUAAUUGAGGCAAGUGGAUUUCUAAACUCUUGUUAAGUGCAUGGAAUUGUGUAUUUCCUUGUGGUGUGUGUUGGAGAGUAAUGGGAAUUUGUAAUGGGUUGACUUGUCCAUGUUGAAUAAUUCUAAUGAUGGAAAAAUGGUUAUAAAAAGGCAAUGUGAAUUGUGAAUUGUGUGAUGUUAUGAAAAUGGUCAUCUCCUCAUUAUUAUGAACAUGUCAUCUGCAUUGUUUUGAUACGUGAUUGUAACUAGUGUUAUGUGAACUGAGAAAGAAUAAGAAAUUAAAGAGGAUGCACCAUUUCGAGGGACGUGUCUCGCGCCACGAUAAAUACUAUAUUUCGAGGGACGUAUCGCACGCCAUGAUGGAUUCUAUUAACAAGGGAUGUGUCGCAUGCCGCGACGGAUGCAUGGAGAGAUAUGUCCCCCAUGGGUUUCGGAUUGAGAGACAACGGGUGUAUCGUUAGGUCAGACAUGCAUCACUAUACUUGGCAUUGCAUUUAAUUGCAUUGCACAUUUUUAUCAUUGAUGAACUUGAUCUUGUGUGUUGCUGAUCUUGUGAGUGCCUUUCUGUGGAAGUUGUGGUUGAUGAAUAUUGAGUUGCUGUUGAGGAUAUGUAAUUUGUUAGUGUUGUUGUUGAGUUGUGUGCUAUGUAAACUGUGAACUUUUAGGUUGGGCUAGUUUUAUGCAGGUUGUAGUUGUGGAGGUUAGGAUGGGAUGUAAGGAGUACCCGUAUUAUGUCCCCAUAACUUGUGUUUAGAAGUUUACUUGCUGAGUACCGUGUGAUUUGGUACUCACCCAUUCCUUCUACAUUUUUGUAGGUUACGAGCCCGGAUCUUCGUGAUACUUUUUAUUCUCUUCUUAUCCGAUGCUUCCUGUGGAGAUUUGUGAGGUAGUUGUUUGUUAUCUCAGCAGACCUUCUUACUCCUAUUUAUGAUUUUGUUCUUCUUAAGAGACUUACGUGUUUUCUUUCAAUUCCAUUGUAUUACAUUAGAGGCUUGUCGCGUGACAACCAGGUCUUGGGGGUAUUUUUAAGUUGAUUAUAAAUUUCCACAUUUUUUCGUAAUUAUUGAGUUUUAGGCUGACUUCUCUUGGUGGGAUAAGACGAGUGCCAUCACGUCAACUUUUGGGUCGUGACAUAUGAUUUCUGUUAGUAGGGAGUUAUUAAGUGGUAUAUUUUAUGCUAGUAGUGCUCAACAAGUAUGGACUGAUUUGAAAGAAAGGUUUGAUAAGCUAGAUGGAUCUAGGAUAUUCUACCUGCACAAAGAGAUUGCUACACUCAGUCAAGGACUGUUUCCAGUUAUUUCUCUAAACUUAAGGGGUUGUGGAUGGAGUUUGAAUCCCUUAUGUCAUGUCUUGGAUAUGCGUGUGAGGUGUCUAAGACCUAUGCAGCACAUUUUGAAUACCAACGAUUGAUGCAAUUUCUAUUAGGACUAAAUGAGUCUUACAAUCAGUGUAGAAGUCAGAUCAUGAUGUCGGAUCCUCCUCCAAGGGUUAACAAGGCUUACUCUCUAGUUUUGGCUGAGGAGAGUCAGAGGAUCCUUGGAAAAUAUAAUGUUGUAGGUAGUGAUAAUUCUAGUCUUGUGAAUGAGGCUAUGGCAUUCUUCGGCAACAACAAGGGUGCUAUACCUAGAUCAUGUUUCAAUCCCAACUCUAGAUCUAACCCUCCUUCAGGAGAUGGUCCUGGAUCUUCUUAGAAAUCAUCUACAAAUAGUCAUCUCUAUUUUGACUACUGAAACUGGAAAGGUCAUGUGAGAUCUACUUGUUACAAACUCCAUGGCUACCCUGCUGACUAGAACAGGUUCAACAACAUCAUCAUUUCUCUCCACAACAAUACCAGUAGCUCCUGAACAUGUUAGAUCAAGAGAAUGAGAAGGCAAAGGUCAACUGUGAUAAUAUGCUUGCAUCAGGUAUGAAACCUUUUUCCUCUAUGAUUAGUAAGGCUGAUACAUUGAUUAUUGACUCUGGAGCUUCUCAACAUAUGGUUAAUAACAUGACUAUGAUGAAUCAACAUUCUCCAUUACAUAAUGCCUCAUGCAAUAAGGUUCAUUUUCCCAAUGGUGCACUUGUUCAUGUAGCUCACAUUUGUUCUUCUAAGCUCCUUGGAGGAGUAGAUAUUUCUAAUGUUAUGCAUAUUCCUGCAUUUCAACAUAAUUUGUUGUUUGUUUCAAAACUGACUAUGGAGUUAAAUUGUCGUGUCCUCUUCUGACCUAACUUUUGUGUCUUUCAGGACCUAUCAAGUUGGACUGUGAGGGGGACUGGCAGACUGGAGAACAAUCUAUAUGUUGCUAAUGUUGAUUGCUUGCUGAAUAAGUCUCCUGGAGUGCCUUUGCAGUCUACUCCAGCCUGUGUUCCUGUGGCUCAUACUACCUCUACUCAGUCUUGUAAUGUAGAUAUGUCUCUUUGGCAUAAGAGACUAGGCCAUGUACAUGUAUCUACUAUUAGAAGCCUUAAUUGUUUCAAGUCUAUCUCCUCAAGCUCUACCUCUAUUUGUAUUGUAUGUCCUUUGGCUAAACAGUCCAGGCUGUCAUUUCCUUUGAGUAAUUUUACUACUACGGCUUGCUUUGAUCUUCUACAUGCUGAUGUAUGGGGUCCUUAUCGAGUACCUACUCAUGAUAAUAAGAGAUACUUUCUUUCUUUAAUUCAUGACUUUUUCAGAUACACAUGGUUAAUCUUACUUAAUUCUAAGACUGAGGUUAUAGUAGCUUUAACCAAUUUCUUUGCCAUGGUUAGGAAUAUAUUGUCCACCACUAUUAAAGUACUCAGAACUGAAAAUGGUAUUAAGUUUUUCAACUCACAAGUCACUUAUCUGCUUCACACACUAGACAUUCUUUACCAAAGUUCAUGUACUUAUACCCCUUAGCAGAAUGGGCUUUUUGAAAGAAAACACAGACAUAUUCUAGAUAUGGGUAGGUCACUAAGGUUUCAAGCCAGUCUACCUCAAAGAUUAUAGGGUAAAAUUAUCACCACUAGUGUCUACUUAAUCAAUAGGCUUCCCUCCAUUGUGCUUCAGGGAAGACUCCUCAUGAUUUACUGUAUCAUAUUCCCUCUAUUUUGGAUCAUUUAAAGGUGUUUGGCUGUCUUCUGUUUGCCACUGAGGUGCGAGGUGUUGACAGGUUUGCCUCUAGAGCAUGGAAAACCUGUCAACACCUCGCACCUCAGUGGUAAACACAAGACAGCCAAACACCUUUAAAUAAUCCAAAACAGGGGGGGAAAUGAUACAAUAAAUCAUGAAGAGUCUUCCCCUAAAGCACAGUGGAGGGAAGCCAAUUGAUUAAGUAGACACUAGUGGUGAUACUUUUACCCCAGAAUCUGUGAGGUAGACUGGUUUGAAACCUUAGUGACCUAGCCAAAUCUAGAAUAUUUCUGUGUUUUCUUUCAACAACCCCAUUCUUGUGAGGGGCAUAAGUACAAGAACUUUGGUGAAGAAUGCCUAGUGUGUGAAGCAGCGAAGUGACUUGUGAGUUGAAAAACUCACAACGAUUGUCAGUUCUGGGAACUUUAAUAAUGUUAUGAACCAUAUGUUGAGAAGCUCCAGAUUCAAUAAUCCAUGUAUCAACCUCAGUAAUGUUAGAGGAACAAUGCGUCAUACCUGAUGCCAGCAUGUUAUCACAGUUGGCAUUUGCCUUUGCCUUCUCAUUCUCUUGAUCUAACAUGUUUAAGAGUUGCUGGUUCUGCCAUGAAGAUAAAUAAGGAUGAUGCUGAACCUACGGAUCAUAGUGAAUAGACAUAGGGGCAUGAGAAGGCGUAGUAGAAGGGAAACCACCACCUGUUGGCCACACAAGAGUGCUUCCGUGUGAGCUGUUGUUAGGUCCAUGAGCAAACUGAGCAGAAUACUGCCUAAGAUGACUAUUACCAGUAGAAGUCCCUACAAAAUUGGAUCCAAGAAAAAGUCCACUGGUUGUUCUCCUCUUACCCUUCUAAUCAACAAGGUAGCCAUGGAGUUUGUAACAACUAGAUCUCACAUGACCUUUCCAGUUGCAUUAGUCACAAUAGAAAUGACUAUUUGUGGAUGGUUUCUGAGAAGAUCUAGGACCAGCUCCUGAAGGAGGGUUAGAUCCAAAGUUGGGAUUGAAACUUGAUCUAGGCAUAGCACCCUUGUUGUUACUGAAGAAUGCCAUAGCCUCAUUCACCAGACUAGAAUUAUCACUACCUACAUCAUUAGAUUUUCCAAGGAUCCUCUAACUUGGGCACUUGUCUACAAACAAGGAGGCCAGUAACAAGUUAUCUUGUGAAAUUUUGAGAUGCACUCAUUUCUGGGAAAUCAAAAAAACAAGAUACAGUGGCUAGAAGCUCUGCAGAAGCUGAAUUCAGAAGCAUGGCAUUAGUUGUAGCAGAGAUCACUUGGCUUAUUUGUUUGUUUAAGGAGUUGGGUAUAAAUAUCAAGCAACCAGUGAACCUACAUUGUGACAACAAGGCUGCAAUUCAGAUUGCAUCCAACCCUAUCUUUCUUGAAAAAACUAAACACUUUGACAUUGAUUGCCACUUCGUUAGAGAAACGCUACUACAAAAAAUGAUUAAGACGUAUCAUGUUUCAACAAAAGACAAACUGGCAGAUUUGCUUCCAAAAGGGUUAUGGAAAGCUUCACAUUUAUUCUUAAUGUCCAUGCUGGGAGUAAGAGACAUAUUUCAACCACCAGCUUGAGGAGGGGUGUUAUGCAGUAAAGGAGCUAAGACAGUGGUAGCUGCAGUAAACUGUUAGAAUAGUUAGUAAUAAGUUUGUUAGGAAAGUUGUUACAAGUUAGUUAUUAUUAAUCGUAGUUGAGUUAAAGUAACUAGCCUAGUUAGCUAAUACAUAAUGCAUCGUACUAUAUAUAGAGUAGAUAAUCAUUUGUAGAUGUAUGAAUGACUCUAUGAAUUUAAUAUAGUUUCACAAAAUUUUCUCUCAGAAGCUCCAUUACUUUUUCUGAAUUCUAAACUUUGGGCAGGCAUGAAUAGACCUAAACCAGGAGAUGCCUUAAUGUACUUAACCACCCAAGUGUUGCUUCCAUGUGAGACUCUUUUGGGGCAUGCAUAAAUUGACUUAGCACCUGUAUUAGAAAAGAGAUGUCUACCCUGGUCAUGGUUAGGUAUAAAAACCUCCCUACUAACCUUUCAUACCUUUCGAUGUUCUCCAAAGGUUUAUCUGUAAUAGCGGCUUCUGAACCUUGUGUCUGUGUCAUAUUCAAUAGAUGUUAAUCUUACAUUAGGAUCUACUGGUGUAUAUACUGGUCUUGCAUAACUUAAUCCCCUCUCAGAAAUAAGUUCCAGUGCAUAUUUGAGUUAAUUCAUUACAUACCCCUCCUUUGACCUAGCAAAUUCAUGGCCAAGAAAAAACUUCAGCUCACCCAAGUCUUUCAUCUUAAAAUUGAGUUUCAAAUCAUUUCUGGUCUUGUCAAUUAGGGUAGUACAACUUCCAGUUACAAGUAGAUUAUCUACAUAAACAAGGACUAUGACCAACUCUGCAUCAACAUUCUUAGUGAACAAAGAGUAGUCAUAGUGACUUUGAACAAACCCUAUCUUAACUAAUGCUUCAUUCAACUUCAAGUUCCAUUGUCUAGGUUCUUGUUUGGGUCCAUAAAGGGAGUUGCAUAAUUUGCAGACAAUGUUAGAUCCCUCAUGUCUGCAAAAACUAGGAGGCACCACCAUCUAAACAUCUUCAACAAGAUCACCCUGUAAGAAGGCAUUGUGCACAUCCAUUUGAAAAGCAAGCCAAUGUUUGGCUGCAGAAAGAACCAAAACUGACCUGAUAGUACCCAUUUUAGCCACAGGAGAUAAAGUUUCAGUGUAGUCUAGACCUUUUUUUUUAUUAAAGCCCUUGGCAACUAAUCUAUCUUUGUACAUCUCAACAGCCCCUAGGCUAAAUACUUGAUCUUAAAAACCCAUUUCCAGCCAAUGGGUUGUUUACCAGGUGGUAACUCAGUAAGGCUCCAACUGUGGUUAUCCUCUAAGGCAUCAAUCUCUGGCUGCAUAGCCCCCACCCACUGUGGUUUUGAAGAAGCGUCAAGAAAAGUACUAGGCUCAUAAAUAGUAGCAUAAGAGGAUAAAGAAGCACCAUAGGAAGCAGUGAGAUUAGUAUAGGAGACAUGAUUGGAGACUUGGUACAGACAACUGGAGGUAUGCUUAGGAGUGUGAAAAUCAUGAAGCCAAAUAUGAGGUUUUGUGGACCUAGUAGAUUUUCUCAAAGGUCUACUAUCACUAACAAUAGCAGGAACAACACCUGAGGAAUUAGAAGACUCAGCCAGCACUUCCUCAAUAGCAAGAGAAAGAUACUGAGUAGUUUGAGUAUCAACUGAAGCACCCUCAGCUGAAUCAGCAUCAGCAGGGGGCAACUACACCACAUGUCUCAUCAGUAAGUACCUCUGUAGUCUCAUCUAGGAACUGUAGUACAGGGAAUAAAGAGGAACAAGAAGACCUCAUGUGUUUGAAGGGAAAAACCUCCUCCUUAAACACAACAUCCCUACUAACAAAAAAUUCCUUAGUAGUCAAAGCAUACAACUUCUACCCCUUCUGUAGAGUAGAGUAACCAAAUAACACUGCAUGAAUUGCUCUGCAGGCAAACUUGUCAACACCUCACACCUCAAUGGCAAACACAAGACAGCCAACCACCCUUAAAUGAUCCAAAAUAGGGGGAAUAUGAUACAGUAAAGCAUGAGAAGUCUUGCCCUGAAGCAUAGUGAAGGGAAGCCUUCUAUUUAAGUAGAAAAUGGUGAUGACACAUUCACCCCAGAAUCUGAGAGGUAGACUGACCUAAAGCCUUAGUGACCUAGCCAUAUCUAGAAUAUGUCUAUGUUUUCAUUCAACAACCCCAUUCUGCUGAGAGGUAUAAGUAGAAGAACUUUAGUGAAGAAUGCCUAGUGUGUGAAGCAGAGAAGUGACUUGUGAGUUGAAAAACUCACAACCAUUCUCAGUUCUGAGUACUUUAAUAGUGGUGGAAAAAAUAUUCCCAACCAUGGCAAAGAAAUUGGUAAAAGCUACUAUAACCUCAGCCUUAGAAUUAAGUAAGAUUAACCAUGUGUAUCUGGAAAAGUCAUCAACUAAAGUAAGAAAGUAUCUCUUAUUAUCAUGAGUAGGGACUCGACAAGGACCCCAUACAUCAGCAUGUAGAAGGUCAAAGCAAGUAGUAGUUGUAGAAUUACUCAAAGGAAAUGACAAUCUGGACUGUUUAGCCAAAGUACAUACAAUACAAAUAGAGGUACAACUACUUGAGAAAGACUUGAAACAAUUAAGGUUUCUAAUAGUAGAUACAUGUACAUGGCCUAAUCUAUUAUGCCAAAGAGACAUAUCUACAUUACAAGACUGAGUAGAGGCACUAUGAACCAUAGGAAAAUAGGCUAGAGUACAGUGCAAAGGUACUCUAGGAGACUUAUUGAGUAAGCAAUCAACAUUCACAACAUAUAGAUCAUUCUCCAGUCUGCCAGUCCCCCUUACAUUCCCAUUUGAGAGGUCUUCAAGGAAAAAAAAGUUAGGUUAGAAGAGCACACGACAAUUUAGCUCCGUAGUCAGUUUAGAAACAGACAAAAAAUUAUGUUGAAAUGCAGGAAUAUACAAAAUAUUAAAAAUCUCUAUUUCUUCAAGGACCUUAGAGGAACCAAUGUGAGCUACAUGAGCAAGUGAACCAUUGGAAAAAUGAACCUUAUUAGAUAAGGCAUUAUAUAAUGGAGAGUGUUGAUUCAUCAGAGUCAUGGUAUGAACUAUAUGUUGAGAAGCUCCAGAGUCAAUAAUCCAUGUAUCAACCUCAGUAAUCUUAGAGGAACAAUGCUCUAUACCUGAUGCCAGCAUGUUAUCAAUGUUAGCCUUUGCCUUUACCCUCUCAUUCUCUUGAUCUAACAUGUUCAGGAGCUAUUGGUACUGUUGUGGAGAUAAAUGUGGAUGAUGUUGAACCUGUGGAUCAUAGUGAUUAGGAUAGGGGCUUCAGAAGGAGUAGAAGAAGGAAAACUACCACCAGUUGGCCUGAAAGGAGUGCUUCCAUAUGAGCUGUUGUUAGGUCCCUGAGCAGAUUGAGCUGAAUACUGCAUAAGAUAACUAUUACCAGUAGAAGUCCCUGCAUAAUUGUCUUCAAUAAAAAAGUCCACUAGUUGUUCUGCUCUUACCCUUCCAAUCAGCAGGGUAGCCGUGGAGUUUGUAACAAGUAGAUCUCACAUGACCUUUCCAGUUGCAGUAGCCACAAUAGAGAUGACUAUUUGGGGAUGAUUUAUGAGAAGAUCUAGGAACGGCUCCUGAAUGAGGGUUAGAUCCAGAGUUGGGAUUGAAACUUGAUCUAGGCAUAGCACACUUGUUGUUACUGAAGAAUGCCAUAGCCUCAUUCACCAGACUAGAAUUAUCACUACCUACAACAUUACAUUUUCCAAGCAUCCUCUAACUUGUGCACUUGUCUACAAACAAGGAGGUCAGUAACAGGUUAUCUUGUGAAAUUUGGAGAUGUACUAAUUUCCUGGAAAUAAAAAAAAAGACAGUGGCUAAAAGCUCUACUGAAGCUGAAUUCAAAAGCAUGGCAUCACUUGUAGUAGAGAUAACUUAGCUUAUCGGUUUGUUUAAAAAGUUAGGGAUAAAUAUGAAGCAACCAGGGAAUGUACAUUGUGACAGCAAGGCUGCAAUUCAGAUUUCAUCCAAUCCUAUAUUUCAUGAAAGAACUAAACACUUUGACAUCGAUUGCCACUUUGUCAGAGAAAAGCUACUACAAAAAAUGUUUAAGACUCAUCAUGUUUCAACAAAAGACCAAUUGGUAGAUCUGCUUACAAAAGGGUUAUGGAAAGCUUCACAUCUAUUCUUAUUGUCCAAGCUGGGAGUAAGAGACCUAUUUCAGCCAGCAGAUUGAGUAGGGUGUUAUGCAGUAAAGGAGCUAAGACAGUAGUAGCUGCAGUAAACUUUUAGAAUAGUUAGUUAUAAGUCUGUUAGGAAAGUUGUUACAAGUUAGUUAUUAUUAAUCAUAGUUGAGUUGAAGUAGCUAGCCUAGUUAGAAAAUACCAAAAUGCAAUGUACUAUAUAUAGAGUAGAUACUCAUUUAUAAAUAAAUGUAUGAAUGACUAUGUGAGUUCAAUGUAGUUUCACACAGUUUUCUCUCAGAAUCUCCAUUACUGAUUCUUCACUGCUGAAACUAACACCUCCAUCAUACUUCUGGGACAUUGGUUCCCUUACCAUCAAAAUACUAGAGCAUAUAUACCCUUUACUCUAACUUAAAUUGUCUAGAUAACAAUCCCAGAUAAAUGUAGAAGCUCCUACUACUACUGUUGCUAGUAGAAUGGAAUCCUAGUUGUUGGGUAUGCCUCGUAUCUAGAUGUAAGGCCUUCCUAAUUAUUAUAUAUAAAUAAAUACCCUUUUACAACAAACAAACAAAAAUUGAAGGAAAAGAGUUGGAUGCAUGGGACCCACAAUAAGUAUCAUUCCAUCUCACAUAAGCACUUAGAUAGAUGAUGUAAGCAAAGGAUAAUUAGUACUCCCUAUGUCCCUAAUUACUUAUCCAUUUUUCAUUGUUUAGUUUUCCCUAAUUACUUGUCCAUUUUGACAAAUCAAGAAAGGAUAAAAAAAAUUCUCUAUUAUACCCUCAAUUUAUUACUUUGAAAAAUGUAGAACUUCUUGAAAAUCUUAAGUUUUUAAUUCAUCAACUUCAUAAUUAAUAGGGAUAAAAUGGUACACUCGCUUUAUCAAUUAUUGUCUUCAUAAUAGGUGUUUCAAUUCAAAAGUUGACAAGUAAUUCGGAACAGAGGGAGUAUUUGGAUAAGUGCGAAAAUAAUUUCUUAAAAAUAAUGAUAAAUUAUUAUUUUUUAAAUAAUUGAAUCUUAAUUUAUUGAAGUAGAAGUAGAAGUAGACAAGCCUAAAACAUUUUUCUAUAUUUAUGUAAUAAUGAUAUUAAUAAAUAGAAAGAAUUGAUUUGACAAUGUUGCAUCGAUCAUGUGCAAAAGAAAGAAGGGCCAAGAAUUGAUGAUGAUCUUGUGGGUGGUAAACAAGUGUCCACUGCACCGCCCUGCCUAUUUUGAUUUUAUAGUAUAUCCUUGUGCACGUAUAUCUAUAUAAUUUUUUUUGAUUGAUAUAUAAGAAAUGAUAGUAUAGUAUAGUCGUAAUAGAAGGAUUUAUUAACGGAUAAGUUUAGAGGGUUAAAGAACUUGUUUGUGACGAUUUUUAUGUCUCAGUUGGCCAUAUUUGUUGUAACUCCGGCAACGGAGGGUUAAAAUUGCAGGUGACAGCCACGGAGGCCAACCACGACCCAUGGGUAGGACCACGGACCGUAGUGUGGACCGUUGAUUGGUCACCCCUAAGGUCUGCAGAGGAUGAGGACCACGACCUGACCAACGGACCGUAAGUCAAACCAUGGUUCGUGGUUGGGGGCCCGUGGUUUAGCGACCCAAAAACAACCUACUGACCAUGGUCCGUAGUCAGUGGUCCAUGAAUGGUAGGUCGGCAGUUAAGUUUAGGGGUAGUUGGGUCUUUUCCUAAUUAAUUAUUUCUAAUACUAUGUCAUUUUACCCUGCACUAAGACCCCUGUAUAAGUGAUUUCAAACCCCAAAAUAGCCCAUUCCCUUCAUUCUCGCCAAAUUCACCAAAAAGAAGAACUCUCCAAUAAUUCUCUCUCUAGAAAGCUUGAAGAAGAAGGAUUCAACCUAGGGUUUCAAGUCAAGUCUCAAUUCCUUCAUUGAAGAUUAGCAAUUGGAUUCAAGGUAUGAUAGUUUUCAUCCAUGGAUUCCUUCCAUUCAUAGAGUUCCUAAAUUCUCCUAUGUCAAAGUUAGAAAUCCCCAAUGGAGAUAGGGUUUUCUUCAAUUGUCAUGGGCUCUUUUUAUUAUUGAUUUAAAUGAUUGAAUUAUGAUCCCUUAUGCAUGAAUUGAUUAAAUAAUAUGAUUUUAUAAUGACUUCCCCAUGAACCGUUGUAAUCCCCAUGUUUUCAAGUUAUGAUCAUAUGAUGUGGGAUUUUGAUUAUAAAGAAAGAGUUUUAUGAAAUCGAGCAUGUAUUGAUAGAGUUACAUGAAUUUAUAAUGAAAUCCAUAGCUAACCCAUGUUUUCUAAAGGUUGAUUAUUGAAAGUGGGUUUGAACCUUGAAAUGUAAAUUAUGGAAUUAUGCAUAUUCUUAUGAAACCUAUGCAACUGUUUUAAGGAUGUUUUGAGAGUAAAGUAUCAAUGAUGAUGUUGUUGUUGUUUUAUUGAAAGGAUUUUCUCAUAAACACAUGAAAGCAUGAUGUCAACGUUUUCUCACAUAAUAAAGAUUCUAAGGUUGAAGGGUCUUCUCACCUAAUUGAAUCAAAGAUUAAAAGCUAUCCUAAUGAAACCUAGCUUGGAUUGGUUAUUGAAUGAUAUAUUUCCAUGGAUGAUGACUUAGAUUGGAUUGGUAAGAUGACGUACGUUUCCAUGGAUAAUAAGAACAGGUAAGAAAUGACUAUUCUGUGGGAUUUAUGCUUAAGCACCAAGAGGAUAUUGAGAUGGAAGCUCUCCCAUUAGUACAGGUCGGGUUUCUAGAAGCAAUAUCCUUAUCCCUUACCUAUGUGCCUCCAUAGGAUGAUUGUCUAGAUAGACAUUAGCUAGUGGAUCCACCUACACUAGAAGUUCAUGGUCCUUACCUUGGUAAGUAGGACAAUGUUUUUCGGUGUGGAAGACACCGAGGGAUCGUGUUAUAACUCACAUGGUCUGUAUGUCAAUUAAGGCUAAUCCCCCACAAUAAUAAUGAACUAAGGUUACUUCAAGAAGUAUCUCAUAUGUUUUCAAAGACUUUAAUGAUGUUAGCUUGCAUUUACCAUGUUUUAUGACUUAUAUUUUCUAACCCUUUUAUAUCACGUUUUAGCUUGGUCAAUUGCAUGUCAUGAAAUGUCCUCCCCUUAGCAUGAUUUAAAUGUUUUAUUCAUAUCUAUCAUACUUGGUACAUUGUUUUGUACUAACACAUACUCUUGCGUACAUUUCCCUGAAUGUAGGGUCUGACAGCCAGGUUUCUCUGUUUCGUGGCUAGUGGUUGAUUACGAGGUUCUCGAGCUUUGGUGAGUCCUCAUGCUUCGAGGAUGGGUUUUCAUUGUUUCAGUUUAAUUCUUGUAGUAAGUUUUAGACAUGAUGUAUGGGCUAGGACCAAUUUCAUUCUAUUAUACUAGAUAGCUAAUGAGACAAGUGUUUUAUACUUCUGCUUUUCUUUUAGGUGAAAUGGUCUGGUGGACCCUUAUACUUGUACGAGUUUGUAUUGUGAAUCCUUCUACUUACUCGUUUUUCAAUUGAACCCUUCAACUCAAUCAAAAUGAGUCGUUUAAACCCC